UUUGUGUUUGUUUUUGUCUCUUUUCUCUUUAUACUUCUUUUCCUCUAAUAUACUUCUUCUUCUCUUUUUCCCUAUUUUACUCUCUAUCUUAUUGUUCUGAUAGUGAUAGAAGAACCAUUGAGAUCUGAAAUUUAUUUCACCAUAUAUAUAAACUUUAUUCUGGCCCUAAUGCUGAGGGCUGCACCACUGACACAGUCUAGUUUGUGCUUUAUAACCACUUAUCUAGAUCUUAAUUAUGGGAUUUGAUCAUAAGUGGGAGAAAACAUCUAUACCAAAUAGCCAUCUUUGGUUUAUUACAUUGUUCCCACUUUGUUUUGUCUAGAGGCCUCUUUGACAGCAAUACCUGUCAAUAGUUGCAUAGCUUCUUCUGUUCUCAUUGGUUUUAAUCACAUGAAACUUUUGGCUUGCUCUAGUCAUGUGUCUCUUUUGGUUCAUAAUCUUGAGCUCAAGGGUGAUAAUUAUUAUGAAACGUUUAUGAUAUUCUUCCAUAUCACUUGGUUUGUUAUCUUGAACAUCUUUGCAGUUAACUAUUUCGAGCCAUCAUGCUUCUUUUCUUCCCAUUGUCAAGACAUUUAAGAAUGAUGAAGUGGAAUAGGAUGGUCAUUGAAGGACUGAAAAGAGACUUUUGGUUGACCUAUUGAUGCUGCUGUUGAGAAGCACGUUUUGCCUUGCUAAACAUCAAAUUGUUGAAUGAAAUUGACCACCUCUGUCCAGCUGUCUUUUUAGGAACGAUAUAUACUGCUAAUUCAUAUAUUAGUUCUUGGAUAACAUUCUCUUCCAAAUAUGAAACCUGGUCACUUUUCUCUUAUUUUGUUCAAGCUAUCAAAGUCUAUAUAACCGGUACUGGAAACUGUACUAAUAUAGUACAGUCUGUAGGAUAUGGUAUGCAUUUCGUAUCGCCACAGGCUCCCAAUACCAUUUUCUCACUCCUAGUCAUGAUAUUGCUUGAAUUCGGGCUAUAUGGAGAAGUUCCACUUAGUUCAGAUUGUUAUGGUUCAUAUACUGAACUAAAUCUUGGUACUGUAUCAAUACCUUACAGGUACAGCUGGUAUGUGGCGGUACAACUAAUCUUGCAGGCCAUGCUAAAUUUAUUUCAAAGGGGAGAUAGCCUUAUUUUAUGAUGUUGGUGGGUGUCCUCAUCCUUGGUUAGUCAUUGACUAGCACAUGGGGGCUCAUCGUACACUUCAUUUAGGUGACUUCCACUAUAAACCAUCUUAAGAUAAAUGUGAAUCAUAAAUUUCAGGAUUUAAAGAUGAUCUAGUGCAAAUCGUAGCUAACCCCCGCCCUUUCCUUUUAUUGUAUUUGUGCUUGCUUUGAUGCUGGGCAGACAAUUUGAUUUUGUACUUCUAUUCAAUUCUUUCUUUUUUUGAGUUGUUGUGAGGAUCCUUCACAUCUAAGACUCCUCCAUGGAUGCUUUGCAUGGUGACUUAACACAAACACUACAUAUGUUUUUGCAAAUCUUCCCUAUGGUAAGAUUGUUCGGAUAGCCCCUUCAUCAUUCCCACCGCUCUCUCUUUCUGUCACUGGCUAGGUUUGUGGCUUGAUCUUAUGCCCUUAUGCUUUCUCUCUUUGUUUUGAUUGUUUUUGGCUUAUUUGCUGACAUAGUAGACUCCCAGAGAUCUUCUGUAUAUGGUUAUAGGAUAUGUGGUUGGGUCCCUAGUAUGGAUCUUAAAUUUGCUUUACGUUCACAUUUGCUUGCUGCUUGACUAUUUCCUGUUUAGGCUGGUGAUGAGAUGUAAGCGUGUAGGCUUUCAUUUUUCAGUUUUAAUCUGCACUAGUUCUCCAACAUUCUUAUGCGCUAAAUAGAAAUCCUAGGCUGCAUUACUCUUAAGUUUUAGGUGUUUUCCUACUCUAGUACUAAUUUGUCAAUAUCAUCUGGACUUUCAUUUGCUAGUUGCGGAGCUGAUCAUGGGCCGGGCUUUGGCACAGAAAAGGUCAAAUGCCUUAAGCCCGAUUAAAAGUGAAUAGAGUUUCGGCCUGAGGCCCGGCCCGUGAUUAACUAUAGCUAGCUGGCUACUUGGUGACUCCCUUCUCCUGGAGGGACAAGAAACAAGAUAUUUUCUACCUCACUACAGCUGAAUCUGAGUAUUAUUCCAUGGUAAGCCCCACUUUUCAGGUGGCUUAGUUUAUGGAAAUAAUUUUCCUUAACACCUCUCUAUUUUGAUAAGUUGGAGUUCUUUUCCGAUCUCAUCACUAAAUAUCCAAUCUAUAAUGAGGGAGCCAAGAUGUCAAGAUCAACUGUCACUAUGUUCAUCGCCAUUAUGCUAGUGCUCGCAUCUACUUAGCAAACUCUGAGCUUAUGACCCUUGUUCGAGGGGUUGCUUGCAUAAUUCUUAAAUUGAAUUAUGUUACUUGUCUUUGAUGUUCUUUUUGUCUUACUAACUUGAAAAUACAUAUGUAUACAUAUAUUUCUGGGAUUGUGCCCCAAUGAGAAAUGCUUGCUUUCCACAUUUCAUCACAAAUUCUCAACACAAAGCUUAGUAGCUUGCUAAUGUCAAUCCAUUCAUCAAGCACCUUUCUUUACAUUGGUUGCUUAAGAAAAUGCAAGUUAAUUAUCUUUUCGAUGACUUAUUUGCUUAUUAACGGCUUAUCCUAUUUGAGUCUUGACAUUUAAGUCGGAAAGCUAAUUCUCUUUCGUGAUUCUAGUUUUUUCACAUUAUCUCUUUCCCAUUUGAUGUCCGACUUGCACCGUAUACUCACUAGUUGAGGUCGGCUUCAUGCAUCCUUUUUCUCCAUUCUGCUUUGUUUAGGGUUACACUUUCUGAAAGAUGCAACAAUAUCAAGUCCUUUAUUGCUAUGUUAUCCCAUGUGAUUUUCGGUCUGCCUCUACCCCGUUAUUCUUUUACAUAUAUCAAACCACUUCUUCGUACUAUGCAUCUCUUGGCCUACGCUGUACAUAUCCAAACCAUUAAAGUCGUAAUUUUCUCAGUUUGUCCACAAGUAGUGCGACCUCUACCUUGUUACACAUGUUUUUAUUUCUUAUUCUACCUUUUCUUAUAUUAUCACACAUGCAUCUUGAUAUUUUCAUUUCAGCCACACUUGUCUUGCACAUAUGCUAUUUUCUAACCGCCCACAAUAUUUUGUACCAUAAAGCAUAGCUGGUUGUAUGGUUGUGCUAUUAAAUUUUUUCUUUAAUUUAGCAGGUGUCCUCUGAUCAUAUAAUUUCUUAGAUGCACUUCUCUCCAUUUUAUCUGCCUUGCUUUAAUCUUAUGGAUAACAUCUUCUUCAAUCUUCCUAUCCUUAUGAAUAAUUGAUCCUAAAUAUCGAAAAUGAUCACUUAUAGAAACUUCAUUAUUCUCAAUUUUCACUUUACCUUCAUCUCUUACUAAAACUAUAUUUCAUAUUCCGUCUUGAUUCUGCUUAAUCUGAAACUCUUAGAUUCUCACUCUUCUAUAAUUCCAACUCAUGAUCAAUUCCAAUCUUAAUUUCAUCCACUAAGAUUAUAUCAUCCAUAAAUAGCGUGCACCAAGGAAUAUUGUCUUGAAUAUGCCUAUUAAGCUCAUUUAUAACUAGCACAAAAAGGUAAGUAUUUAGAGUCGAUCCUACUGUAGACCCAUUGUGAUUGGAAACAUACUUGUAUUUCCAUCAAUAGUUCUCACUUCCACUAGAUAUCCUUAAUCACAUUAAUAUAAUUACAGGAAACUCCUUUCUUUUCUAACACUCAUUACAAAACUUCUCUAGAGAUUCUAUCGCAUGCUUUCUCUAUAUUUUUUAUUAACCUCUGAAGAAGAAAAAUAGCUUCUGUAUUCGACCUUCUUAGCAUAAAAUCUAAUAGAUUCUCUAAUAUAUUUGUGUUACACCUCAAUCUAUGCUCAAUCAUUCUUUCCCAAAGUUUCAUAGUAUUGUUCAUGAGUAUAAUACCACAAUAGUUAAAAUUAUUUUUGAAUAUUUCCUUUAUGCUUAUAAAUCGGUACUAUAAUGCUCUGCCUACAAUUAUCAGGCAUUUUCUUGGUCUUUAAAAUCUGAUUAAACAAAUUAGUCAAUCAAGUUACUCCUACAUAUGGGUGGCAAUGCUCAACCUUUUUGACCCAUUUAACUUGAUUCAAUUUGUUGUAGGUCGGGUUGGGUUAUUUAUUUAAUAAAAUAGUCGGGUUGGGUUAUCUAUUUAAUAAAAUGGUCAGGUUAGGGUCUGGAUUUUUGACUCAUUUAUUAAAUAGGUCUGGUUUGGGUUGACAAAUUUUUGACCUAACUUGUAUCCGACCUGACCCAUAUCUCAUCCAACUUGACAUGAUUGCCACCUAUUUCCCCAUCACCUAAAGACUUCCAAAUCUCAAUAGGGAUUCUAUGAGGUACAACCUUUUUUCCUAUUUUCAUCUUUUUGAUAUCCACUGUUAUCUCAGAUACUCUAAUUCUACAUAUGCCUUAACCACUAAGGAGGAUGAUUGCAUUUAUUAUAUAAGUGUGAGUUGUUUUUAAGUUCACUGCCUGAGAAGUUGAUUUUUACUUGCUUAUAGUAUGUGAUAUAUGUCUGCGCUGUUGCUUCUUGCAUUCUUUAAAAUUGACAUAUCUAUGACAGAAAUGAAGGGGGUUUUGUGUUAUAACUACUCUAAUAUACAAUUUAGUUUAAUAAAGUUUGCGAUUGUUCUUUGCAUUUUAUUUUUUUUAAGAUAUUUGAUGUUGUUGCAGAUAUACCAAAUAUACAAUCACAUCGUUAGAGAAAAUGCACAAGCCCAGACUCUAUGUUGAGCAAGAUCUUGGGAUACCUCUCGACCUACUUGAUGCUAGUGUAUACAAGUAAGAGAUCUAGCAAUAACUUCGCGCUGGAACUUUAAUUCCUUUUACAAUGUUUUCAGUUGCUUAUUUGCAUAUUUACAUCAUUCUCCAGUCCUCCCAAAGUGCGUCCUCCCCUUGCAUCAGAAGAUCAAGAGUUAUUGCGUGAUGAUGAGGUAGCAACACCUAUCAAACGAGAAGGUAUAAAGAAGAAAGACCGGCCUACUGAUAAAGGUGUUUCGUGGUUGGUCAAGACUCAAUACAUUUCUCCGCUGAGCACAGAUGUGACUAAACUUGUAGGUGUUGUUGCUGCAUAGCGAAGGAAUUAUAUGCUUUAAGUUAAUUUUCAAUUUUCCUGCGGCAAUGGACAUAGUUGCUAAUUCAAUAUGCAUCGUCAAUUCUAGUCUUUAACUGAAAAGCAAGCAAAGGAAAUGCGGGAAAACAGAGAAGGUAGGAAUGCUUUCUUGGAGAAUCUUAACAACAGGUACAUAAAUGUAUAUCUAUUGUUAACAUGUUUCUUUAAUGAGAGUUUUACUGUAAUCAAGAAAUUUGACAUUUAUUUUUGAUAAUUGCUUCAAUUAUCUAUGUAUAGGGAAAAGCAAAUACAGGCCAUUGAAGAAUCUUUCGAGGCAGCCCAAUUACCUCCUAUCCAUCAAACUAAUCCUAAAUUACAGGCUGUGGAGAUUCUGCCUUUGUUACCUAAUUUCGAUCGGUAUAUUUCACAAGCUCUUAAUAGUUAUGUUCUUUAUCAUUAUACACUUACUUUUCGGUAAAUUCACCUAGUAGAUUGACUGUGCACAUUGCGUUUAUGAUUGCCUAUCUGUGUUGUUAUUGUCUAUUUAUUUUGUCUACUCUAAAUAAAUAGAAGAGGGUGCUUCAGUCGCUUCAAUUCUGGCAGGAGUAAUAGUUAAAACAAAAAAAAAUCGUAUGGAUAUCACUGGAGAUCUAAUAUUCGGUUCUCACUAUUGCUAUAAUCUGUUGAUUAUCUAUAAUAUAACUGUUGAGGUUGAAAAAACAAUUGAAACUUCUACACUGUUCAGAUCUUUCACUAUUAUAUUAUUUUGGUAGAAGUUGGAGCAAUCUUGGAGUAGUCCUGUAUUUUCCACUACCAUAAAAGAAACAUUUGUUGCCUGUGUGCCAGACAUAAUUGUAGGGUACCAGGCUUUCAUUCUGUAAUAGAUACGAGAUCGAUCUGAAAAAAUCUAUUCUGAUAAACAGACAAAAUCUUUCAUGAUCCAUACCAUUACUUGAAAGAUGCACUAGUAUAAGUAACGUGCCUCCAUAAAGUAAGCAAGUUUUUCUUUCUCAAGAACAAGCUUUAAGUAAACAACAGGAUUAUUUUCUAGUUUAUUUAUUUAAAUUUUGUGCAUCUUUGUUUAUUUAAAUUCUGUGUUCAAAAUGACUUUUUGUGUGACAAAAAGGCGUGGAAUAAUAAGUUUUGCAAGAUGAUUUGACUGAUCUAAUUAUGGGAUCAGUUCAUAUUGGGAUUCAUUUUAAUUAUGUUUGUAAUCCAGUUCAAUGUUGACCACUAACUUGGUUGACGACAAUUUGCUAUACUAGGUAUGAAGAUCAGUUUGCUAUGUUAACCUUUGAUGGAGAUCCAACAGCUGAUGCAGAGCAAUACAACAAAUUACACAAUUCUAUUCGUGAUGAGCAUGAAUCACAGGUGAAUUGUGUUCAAAAUGGGCUCACAUGUGGGUAUUCACAUAUUGUAAUUAUGCAUUUUUCUUUAUGUAUAACACUAGAUAUUUUAUAACUUAUAUUUUAUUUUGCUAUUGUACUUUGCUCUUUUUGGCUUAUAGUUUCCUUCUAGAUGGAUGCAAUUUCCUAUAUCAGACCUUGGAAGGGUGAAAGUUGUUCGGAUAAUUCAAAUACAAUUUUCUAUAUCAGACCUUGGAAGGGGUUGUUCGGAUAAUAUUCAUCUAGAUCCAUUGUUAUAUUUAAAUCUAUCUGAAUAUGGAUAGAAAUUUGAGCAUCCAACUAAUAUUUGUAUAUGUAUCUAUAUCUGUCAAAAAAAAUGGAUAUGAAUAUAGAUAGGCAACUACCUAAUCUGUAUCCAAAUAUCCAAUUUUACUUGUGACCCUAUUUAAUUUUAUAUAGAACUCAUGAUUUUUUUAAAAAAAUAAAUAACCACAUUAGCAUACUAUUGACUUGAUUUAUCAUCCACUCAGUAAUAUUUUUGAUUUUGUGGUUAUAAAGUUUAAUUAUCCAACUUAUAUCUGUAUUUAUAUCCAUACUUCCAAUAUCUGAUUUGUAUUCAUAUCUAUUUAAAAUAAAUAUAGAUGUAAAUUUUUGCAUCUGUCUAGCAUCUGCAUCUGUAUUUGUAUUCAUCGGACAAAAUAAAUAUGGAAAUGGAAAUACUAAUAUCCGUUCUGUAUCCGAUCCGGUUUCAACCCUACUUCUUCUCAAUCUGUCUAGACAUUGUAUGGAAAAUUGGUGGAUUACACAAUUGAAUGAGUAAAAAAUUAAAAUUGCACGAUCAGAAGGUAAGUCUCCGCCUCCUGGCUAUCCUUUUAACUUUUAUGCUAGCCCCCCUCCUAUCUAAAGAUGCCUUGGGCUAGGAUUUCAAUACCAAUUCAGAGGGUUGACACAAUAUUGCAAGCUGGUAUGAACACAUUUUAACUUUAAUGGAUUGUACAGUGAACAUUAAAGAUGACCCCACAUAGAUGGGAUAAGGCUGCUGAUCGAAGUUGAUUAUAUCGAAUUAUUUUUGUAGAACUAUUUUUUUUCCCAGCAACUAAUAAAUUUUACUUUGCAUUUUGUACAAACUCCCUAUAUGGUUUGAUCAGAAAAUAGAAAACCUUCCCUUAUCGCAUUGUGGUGGCUGCUUUAUAUGCAAUUUGGAUUCAUCUUUGUAUGCAAUUUGGAUUCAUCCUGUUACUUCAUCUUAUAUAUUCUCUGUGUCUUCCAUCAUAUUAGUUGUGUUUUAUCAUUUUGUAAGUGAAAUCUUACUCAUCUUGCUUGUUUUGUGCUGCUAAAAUAGGAACAUCAUUUUUAUUUCUUUUGCAAAAUAGAAGCAGCAUGCUUCUUUAUACGUUUCUGAUGACAAUUUGACUUAGCUAUUUUCAAAAAAUGGACUUGUUUGUUGGCGGUCCCACUUUACUGCAAUAUUAAUUAGCUGUAGUUCUUUAUGUCAAAAGAUUCUUCUUUCUGUCAACGGGGGCAAAUGCUGUGAGUUUUGGGUGUAUAUUCCGUGGGUAAACUAAUGCAGUCAUGACAUUAUUCUUGCAUCUCCAUUUUGUUAAAAUCUUUACUUGCUCCGCUCUCAGCGCAUAUUAUGCUCCUUCACAGGCUAUAGUGAAGAGUUUUGUAGCAAAUGGUUCGGAUCCUACAAAACCAGAGAAGUUUUUGGCAUACAUGGUUCCUGCACCUGACGAGGUAUUGUGUUACUGUUGUUCCCACUUUUAAUACGAAUCAUGAAGCAGAGUUGGUUAGCGUGUUGUUUCAUUUUGUGAUAGUGUGAAAUACUUGCAUGUUAUCCUGCAGAAUUGUAUAUUAUUGGAAUUCAGCACUUAUUCUUAUCAUCUUUCUGUCAUACAUUUGCAUAGUGACAGUGUUCCUCAUGCUUAUUAUUGGCAGCUGUCAAAGGAUAUGUAUGAUGAAAAUGAAGAUAUAUCAUACUCCUGGGUUAGAGAGUAUCAUUGGGAUGUAAGUAUCUUAUAUGUCAUUGUAUAUUCCUUCUUCUUCUUCUUCUUCUCUAAUGCUUAUACAGGAAUUUUGAAUUUACAUUUGUUUUUUCUUAUAUGGAAGCGCUAAUUGAAAAAAAUAUACAACAUUGCUGAACUUGAUUUUUUUCUUUUUGGUUAUAGGUAAGGGGUGAUGAUGCUGAUGACCCGACAACUUACCUCGUUACUUUUGACAACAAAGCUGCCCGAUAUUUGGUAAUAUUAGAUUUCUUCAUUAUGUUACUGGGGGUUUGAUAUGGUGGUCUCGAUGCAUAAUAAGUCUUGUUAUGCAGCCUCUACCCACAAGGCUUGUUUUACAAAAGAAGAGGGCGAAAGAAGGAAGGUUUGGAGAUGAGACUGAGCAUUUUCCUGUGCCCUCAAGGGUGACUGUGAGGAGGAGAUCAGCUGUUGCUAUUGGAGAAUUGAAGGAGCAUGGAGAAAUAUCUGUGAAAAAAGUAUAGCUUUUCACCUUUCAAAUUUCAGAUAUAUUGCACUUCGGGAGUGAAUCUGUUAAAUUUGCAUCUAGUUUGAAGUUAUCAUUGCAGAAUGAUGUGUCAAAAAUUUCAUAUUGAAUGAUCAUUGCAGAAUGGUUCCUUGCGCCUGCGCGGGAGAUUUAAUGCCACAGAAUGGCAUUUAAUGUCACUCCGUGGCAUUUAACGCGGGGCGCGCGGACGCCCGUGCACUUAGCUCUGUCGGUACCGGUUCAGUACCGUUCAAACUGGUCUGAACCGGUCCGGUAGGCGACCGGUAGGCCAAUCGGUACUGGUAUGGCGUACGAUGCUAGAUAAAACUUUGGGGCUUUCUUCUUUGUUUUUCUUGGAUUGAUUCAUUAAUAUUUGCAAGGCUUUUUAGUAUGGUGACCCAAUUCCAUAUGCCACAUAUGCCUACUUAGGUUCCUGCUGGGAUUCUAGACAUUUUCUCCAUUUUAUUUCUUUUCUCUUCUAUGAUGUUAUCGAGCACACAUGCCUUGCUGGGUUAUUUUUUAAGAAAUCAGAGCCUGGUGUUUCGCAUACCUUGCUAGAUGUUUGCAUUGUAGCUAGAGAGAAAAUAUAAAUAUAGUAGAUAAACAGAAACAAAAGCAAAACCAGAAGUCUAUUUUAUAAACUUUCUUACUCUAGCUUCCAGUCCCAAAGUUGAGGUGCGAGCACUUUAUUGUCACCUUAACUGAACUCAGAUUGCUUGACAUUCAGCUGUCUGUACUUAAUCAAGGACCCCUUGAUGCACUGCUGUGGGCUGUAAUUAGGCAACAUCAAUCUGGUUUCUAGUUGAUACAAUCAUCAUCCCCGUAUAGUCUUGGUCAUAACCUUGCAAUCCAAAGGAGUGGUCAUGAUCUACAACUGCCUGCUACAUUGCCCAGUGUACUCGUAGAACUUUUUUGCAUCCAAGUGCAAAAGUGGUGGUGGGAGAUGAGAAGUUUUGGGAUGGAUACUGUUGAUAAUUGAUGUAGCAACAUCUUUAUAUAUGCAGUCUCUCUCUCUCUCUCUCGCUCGCUCACCAUGAUGAAAAGGGGGAAGGGAAGGUUUUAGACUUGUCAACCUUUGUGAAAUAAAACUCUUAUUGAUCAAUCUACCGAACAAUCACAUUAAGACUGGUAUUUACAGAUCGCGAUGAUAUCAGUAAUUGAGGUGCUCGUAGAUGUAACUAGGUGUAUUUCCAUCUGGUUCAUGUACAAAACCCUUCGAACUGUUAAACAUUUGUUCAUGUGGUAGUCUUAAUUUUCUUUUUUUUUAAAAAGUACUAGUUUUGUAGUUUGGCCACAUGCACUUUAAAAGUUUGCAAUGUAUAAACCAAUUUUAUGAAGGAUAUUUAGAAGGCUGAUUUUAUCGAUUAUAUCCUUGGAACUUUUUUUUUCCUUUCAAUAUCAGCUAAUUGCUGCUGGUUUUGAAACUUUCAUUUGUUCUUUUAUCUUUUUCUGAGUACAUUGUUUAUUCAUUCAUUGCCUGUAGUUACUUCAUUGAUUCGCUGAGCAUGUCAAGAAGUUAAAGAUAUUAGAAGUAAAAUAAAAUCUUAGUGCCUUUAUAUAUAUAUAUAUAUAUAUAUAUAUAUAUAUUCUANNNNNNNNNNNNNNNNNNNNNNNNNNNNNNNNNNNNNNNNNNNNNNNNNNNNNNNNNNNNNNNNNNNNNNNNNNNNNNNNNNNNNNNNNNNNNNNNNNNNNNNNNNNNNNNNNNNNNNNNNNNNNNNNNNNNNNNNNNNNNNNNNNNNNNNNNNNNNNNNNNNNNNNNNNNNNNNNNNNNNNNNNNNNNNNNNNNNNNNNNNNNNNNNNNNNNNNNNNNNNNNNNNNNNNNNNNNNNNNNNNNNNNNNNNNNNNNNNNNNNNNNNNNNNNNNNNNNNNNNNNNNNNNNNNNNNNNNNNNNNNNNNNNNNNNNNNNNNNNNNNNNNNNNNNNNNNNNNNNNNNNNNNNNNNNNNNNNNNNNNNNNNNNNNNNNNNNNNNNNNNNNNNNNNNNNNNNNNNNNNNNNNNNNNNNNNNNNNNNNNNNNNNNNNNNNNNNNNNNNNNNNNNNNNNNNNNNNNNNNNNNNNNNNNNNNNNNNNNNNNNNNNNNNNNNNNNNNNNNNNNNNNNNNNNNNNNNNNNNNNNNNNNNNNNNNNNNNNNNNNNNNNNNNNNNNNNNNNNNNNNNNNNNNNNNNNNNNNNNNNNNNNNNNNNNNNNNNNNNNNNNNNNNNNNNNNNNNNNNNNNNNNNNNNNNNNNNNNNNNNNNNNNNNNNNNNNNNNNNNNNNNNNNNNNNNNNNNNNNNNNNNNNNNNNNNNNNNNNNNNNNNNNNNNNNNNNNNNNNNNNNNNNNNNNNNNNNNNNNNNNNNNNNNNNNNNNNNNNNNNNNNNNNNNNNNNNNNNNNNNNNNUUUAUUUGUCUCAAGAUACCGACGAAUAGUUUUCUAGUUGUUCAACUUCUCGAAGGGAUAAUAAAUAAGUUAUUCAAUGUGUAAAGCCCUGAAAAAAAUGAUCCUGUUAUUCUGAUAUCAUAUUUAAUGUCAGUGAAUUUUUUAUAACAAUUGUUAGUUGAUGAUUCAUGAUUUUUCCUUAAAGCUUUUUAAUUAAUGCUAGCAAUUCAUGGCUACUGAUACUUUUUAAAUUAGCUGGCUAGAUGAGUGAAACAAGUAGUUUGGGGAUUGCCAGAUGAGUGAAACAGUUAGUUAGAGGGUUGUUUUUGCUGACUCCACCGAGUAUUAGAAUUUUAGUUGGGAGAAUCCUUGGAUGUUAUUUUUCUCAUCCAUUUCAUAGCUUCCCCUGAGUGUUGCAGCUCCUUCAGCUUGUGAUUGUGCAGGGUGGCAUUUCAUGCAGUUAUCUGAAGAAUGCAUGGUGAUGGGGUGCUGUUCUAUAUGAUGCCGCCUAGACGAAAAGAACUUGCAAUGGCACAUAUUGUUAAGCAGGCAUCUAGAUAUGUGUUAAGCACUACUAUGCUACUGUCUCAGUUAUCUUGUGAAGUCUUAAUGUUUAAACUUUAUUUUCUUGUGUAGAAAACUAAGCAGGAGUCUCACAUCAGGUGGACUAACCUUUGCAUUUUUUUUUUUAAAUGAUACUUCUAUCCAUUCUACUGUUUCUGUUUCAAUUUGGUUCUAGAAGCACUGCAGAAAAAGCCAAAAAAAAAAAUCUUGAAGGAGCACCAUUGUUGCAGUUCCUUGCUGAAGGUUUUUGCUCUUUUAAGUGAAAUGCUUCUACGGUGCAGAGCCAGAAACUGUUCUUUUUCAAGCUACCAGUCAAUUGGUGUUAAGGAUAGCUCAUGUGGUCCUCAGCAUCAGAUGUAAUUAGUAAGUGCAUGUGUGGUGGUUGCAUUUUUCUGCCCUCAACUGUAUCCUCUGUAUGUGACAAUUUUCUAGUUAUCUGUUGUUUCUUUUCUUUUUUUAUGCCCUUCAAAAACUAACAAAUGCUUUACAUUUUGUAACGUUAGAUGCGAGUAGUUCUUGGCUGUUUUGGUCUUUCUUAAACAAACUAAUGUGCUGUAUUUUGUGAUCUUAGAUGCAGGUAACUCUUGUUUGUCUUGGAUUAAAAUGGCACAGGUGCAAGUUUUGGCAAUCCCUUUUAAAAGAUUAUGUUAGAGAUGAAGUUCGUGCUCAUGGUUACUCACAAUUUUUGAUUCCUGUGCCAAUCGUUUAAAUGUGGCCAUAGGCCUUCUUGUUUAGGUUUUUCAUUGUACACCUGGUUUAAUUAUCCUAUAUGCUAACAUGUUAUAUGUUUCUUAAACUUAAUGCUAACAAGUGGCUUUAACAUGUAGUAUAACCAUAAUUUUGAAUAAAAAUUGCUAUCGUUACCUUUCAUGAACUUGGAAAGGUGUAAGAUUUCCUACUCAUCAGAUAAUAGUCAAUUUAUUUUAAUUUGAAACUACUUUUUCUCUAGCUGUACAGAGCAACUGGGUAACAAUUCUUUAGAUAAAUGAGUGAAAGAUAUUAUAUUGAAGAUGAUAAGGAAGUUGGUUGACUCAACAUUUGUGGGGUAAUUAUCAGCAACAAUAUUUUUUAAAUGGUCAACUAUUUUCAAUAUUCUUGGUGACAUCUUUUGUCAUUCUAUUCCAUCAAACUUCAUUCUUAAAUACUUUUAUAUUAAAGAGGCUUCUUUGUAUGUCAAGCAUGUCUUACUUUGGAUUCUUGGUUAAGAUGUGAUAUGAGAUUGACUAAACACCAAGGUUUUCUUGGUCCCGGACAUCGUAUUGGCAACCCAUCGAUACACUCCCUACCAAGUGUAGACAUGGUACAUACCUAAGUACCAGCACUCAGUAUGGUGGGAGUACAGAGUCUCAGUACGCUAUCAGUAUCGUACACCAUGUACUUGGCAGUACAGUCUGCAUCUCUAAAAAGUAUCAUAUCUACAAACAAGUUCAUCAAUUUUUGACCUAUUGGCAUCACACUGUAUCACAUAUGUUCAGGGGAUUAGGCAAUUACAUUUUCAAGCAAUGCAACAAGGUAGAUAGAUUUUGAACUUUUCAUUCUUUUGAUAUAUUUUCUAUAACAACUUGAAGGCUAAUGAAUGGUUGAGAGGUUUAAAACAAGUUUUAAAAUUCCGCACAAACACACAGCACAUGCACACACACAACAUUAUAUCGCAUAUGAUUAGUGGACCAGGCAGUUAAAUUUUCAAGCAAGGCAACAAGGUAGAUAAGAUUUUGAACUUUUCAUUCUGAUGAAUGUUUUUCUAUAACAGUUUGAAAGAUAAUGAAUGAUUGAUAGGUUUCAAAUGAGUUGUAAAGUUCCACAUACAUAUAAUAUGUAUUCAACCUGUUGUUGAUUUCUUCAGUUAUUUUUGAAUUAUUCAUUGACUUUUCGCCUUAACCUUGCACAGCUCAAUGAAAAAUCAUGCUUGUAUAAACUUUACAGAAUUUUUGCAAAUAAUUCACAAUUUUCAUGAUAAUGAAUUAUUCUGGAACAUUGCUAUUAUCAUUGGGAUGUUCUUAUUGACAUCAAUAAGUUUCAAUUUUUAAUGUUUUCCUAAUUGUCAAACAUAUUACCAUGUCUCUGAUGGGCAAAAACUAUCUCAUUCUUGCUUUCUACAGCAUGACUAAACUGUACUCUUCAAUCUAAUAGUUCAAUGUUGGAGUUCUUCUGAAUGAUCUGAUGAUCAAAUUCAGAGGAGGGAGAGAUGAACGAUUUUUAAAAUUAGAAAUGAUAAUAGAAGCGGGAAAUGUUCCGUCUGGUCUGUGAACGGUAAAUCGGCUAAUUCUUGAACUUGAGAACCUAGUCUAAACAGGGAAAAAAAACCCUGCAAGGGCAAGGGCGAAAACUGAAAUUAUAUUGAAAAUUCAUUUAUUUUUGAGUCUCUAUAGAUGAUCAUUCUUGUAUAUACAUGGAUUAUGACAACUUGAACCUUAGGUAACUAGGCAUAUCUAAAUUAUUAUUAAUUAAAAGAUUCUAAGCUUUAAACUGAGCUUAUGACUAAAGAAAUUAUAGGGUUAUAAUUAUAUCUCUUGCCCUAUCACAACACUUUCCAGUCAUCAUAACUUGAGCUUGACAGACUCUUUUGGUAUCUCUAACACAUGAAUACGUCUCCUUGUUGGUUGAAUCUCAAUUUGUAAUUGUUUGAAUGCUAUGUCUAUACUUAAAUCUCAAAAUAAAUGCAUUAAUUAAAAUCAAAGAUUAAACGGACAUGCAUUUAAGUCUAAACAUGGUAGUUGGCUUCCCCAGUGUGGAACUCAUCUUUACUCUACUGUAGUUUCAUGAUUCUCUCGUUGUAGUAUGUCUGGUGACCUGUUAGGUUGUGAUUGAACAACACUGCUCCAUUGUUUGGUUGUGGGUGCAUUUUGUCAUGAAGGUGAGCGUAUUUGUUGGAUCCUGAAGUCAUGAAUAGUGGGCCCUGGAACUUGCUCACAAUUAUCUUCACAUCAAUGACCAGAUUCAAUGGUAUUUCUUUGGCACAUCAUUGUCAUUAAAUCCUGAACUUGUAUUCAUUCUUCCGUGUUCAAGACCUUGAUGAUUGAGUUGGUGGUUGAUGUGCUAUUGAUGAAUCAUUAAGCACACCAUUCUUGAAUCUCAGAUCUUUGACUGCACGAUUUUUGUAUGGUUGAUCUUCAAUAAUAUCAACUGUUCCGUAUUUUCUGUCUAUGUGAAAGCCAGCAGUUCCUUGAAUUGCACCAUUAGAUCAUCCAUCUGCUUCACCAAGCUGGAGAUAUUAUGAUCAACACGGUCCAACUGUUCAUUGUGUCGUUGAAGCUUAUCAUCAUGUCUUGCAUCUGUACUCUGUCAGCAUGCUAAUGAAGAAUAUGACCUGAUUCUCACAUUAUUGAUCUUCUAAUUCUGAUACUAUUUCAUUGUGUUAGAUUUGAUAACCAGAUUCACAAUGGAGAGAUAUAUUUUUUUGCAAUCAAGGUUGAGUAAAAAGAAAGGGGAAAUGUUGAAUCAAUUUCAUGAUCAAUGAAUGGGUAAAUCCUCAAAAAGAACUAGAAAGCAAAUUGAACUUUCAAUAGUUUUUGAUCUCUCAAGGAAUGAUCUCACUGUUACAUAUAAAGGCCUAUAAUUUGAACCAUGAGGAUCAGAACCUUAAUUCAAAUUAUUGAUUGAACUAACCUAAUUGUAGCCUUUUAACUAAUUUUAUAUCUAAAGAAAACCAAUAAAGGCAUUUAUGCCCCUGAUUCUGUUAGGACACUUGCACAUCAUUAGAACCUGGUCUAAACAUAAUUUUUUGUUGCUUAUAACACAUCGGAAGAGGCAUUUAGUUCAGUCAUGUGAAACUAUAUAUAACAUGAGCCAAAAUAAUUGCUUAGAUGUCAAAAGGCAGUCUUUGGUUUUUUUUUUUUGGAUGAAUGGAGGAACUUGACAUCAAUUUCGUUGUAGGAAGUUGAUGCAAGGUCUAUAUAUCUCCUGCGGAGUCAAACUUAUGAACCAGAAUGUCAAACUUUAGAAUGGAGUAGUGGGAAGGUGAUUAUAGAAGGUGAUGCUUUUUUUUUUCUGGUUUUGGGGGGGGUGGGGGGGGGGUGUGCGGCAAUCAGUUGAUAGUUUAGACAGAAGAGAAGAAAUUGUUGCAAGUGCAAAACUACUUGUGAGCAGGCCUGUAAAAAUCUAACUGCAGAUUAUCUACAUAGAGUAAUAAUUAAUACAGGGACAGUAGUUCUUGAACUUGUGGAGCUCACACGGAUUAUAUGUGAUGAAACAUAAGCUGGUCUGAUGGUUUAUGAGCUCUUGAAUUGUUAGGAAUUCUGCUUAAUUACCAAAUUGGGUCAAUGAAAAAAAUAAUUACUAUGAACAUGCCACUGUUCAUACUUCAUAGACUAUAUUCACUAAAAGAUGAAUGAGCGAAUCAAUAUAGUAAUUCAAGGGACAGGGUCCUUUUCUUAACUAGAGAUAAAUAGUGUUGGAUUUUACUUGCACUAAUAUUUUGCAUGUGCAACACGUGUGAGAUUUGAAACAGAUAGCCUCAUGACUCUUGGCUCUUAAAGUAGGAAAAAAAGGGUUGCAGGAGUCCAAAGGGGGUGGAGUCGAACUCAGGGGGUGGAGACACGCUCCUUCGAAUUUGUGUUAUAAUAAUAGAGAUAGUGAUAUUCUUAAGUUGCAUUUACAUAAAUUACCUUUCCUAUAGAAGGAUACUUAAAUGAAUAAAUUAGGAUAACAAAGUAACUGAUGCAUAAACCAGUAUCUUCUACAUAAAUGUCUUGCAUGAGUGAUAUGGAUUACAACAGCAUACAUCUGGCAGCAUUCAUUGCAUGCUUUUUUUUGAAGUUCAGAGACAAUGAGAUCUGAUAGCUUGUUACUCAAAUUUGAGAUCUUUUAAUUUUUAUUUUUUGUAGUAAAUAUUUUAUUCACUCUUAAACAGGAUAUAUCAGAACCAUACAAAGUGAAGUGUUGUCGGUGUCAUUGGUACAAUUUUACAAUUUCACAUGGUUCGUAGUUCACUCUUAAACAGGGUAUAUCAGACAACCAUACAAAGGUGAGGUGGUCUCUUAUUUACAAUUUUGCAUGGUAUAAAAUCACUUUCCACCACAAUGAUUAAGGCUUGAUCAGGAAGCCAAUUGAAGUGUUAUGUUGCACUCUCUUAGGACUUUUUUCAGUCUUGGAAUUUAGCACCUGCAAACACCUUAUACUAGUUGUGCAUUGAAGAUUUAUGCAAGCAAUAUAUGUAUCACCUACACGAUCGGCUUCUAUAAGCUUGAUAUGCUUAAAUGGUUUUAUGUCCAAACUUUAGGGCUUUGAUGUGUUCAUAGUUGUUUAAGCCAGCUUAGUGUUAUUUUUAUAUAUGCUGAUAUGAUGGAACCUAUACAGAAAUGCGGUGCUUAAUAUUUAGAGCCAAAUAAUCACACUUGAUGAGAUAAUUGGCGGAAAGAUCCUUCAGAAAAGAACUGUUUGUUUUCAUAAAUAUGCAGGAUAUCAUGAUGUAAUGACUGGAGGUUGGUGGUCUACUAGCGGACUUGCCACUAUCAAAUCCAGAUUACAGAAACGUCAGACCUGGAAGCCUGGGAUGAGUGAGGCAGUGAUAUUUUUCAGAAAUAGGACAUAUUUGCUUUUCUCUGCAAAAUUGGUUGAACAAGAAAUUCACAUCACCAUAGGAGGGACUAUUUAUCACACACAGUGCAUUUACUAUGUUAUUUACUCUCGUGCUUGGAAUUGAAGUUACAUUAAUACAUAACUGUUAACUACUGACUAUAUGAUUAUUUUCCAUUUUUGUGGACUGGUUCUAAUUGAUGAAAAAAAUGAAUCCCAGCUAAGUUUCUAGUGUUUUCUUUUCUUUUUCUUUUUUUGUGAAUGAGCAACAUGCAGAGGCCAUAUAAGAGUCUAUAAUACUUCUUUAUGGGUUGAAUCUUCUUUAACUUCAUCUGAAAUCUGGCCUUGCAAAUUGCCUUACCACUAUUAAUCAAAGCCAGAUGACAGAAACAUCAGACAUGGAAGCCUAGAAUAACUGAGGUAGUGUUAUUUUCCCAAGAUAUGGCAGAUUUGCUUCUCUUUACAAAAUUUGAACAAGUGAUUCACAUUACUAUAGGAGGGACUACUCAUAUCACCAGUGCAUUUAAUAUGUUAUUCACUUGUGCGAAUUGAUAUUACAUUAGCACAUGAUUGUUAACUACCACUUUGUAUGAUUAUUUUACAUUUUAAUGGUAAAUUAUCCUUGGUUCUAAUUGAUGAAAAAGUGAACUUCCAGCUAUAGUUUGUAGCGUGUGCGUGCACGUCUUUUUCUCCUCUCUGAAUGAACAACAUGCACUGGCCAUGUGAGAGUCUAAUAUUUGACAUUAUGUGGGUUGAAUCCUCUGAAAUCUGGCCUUGCGAAUGCUAAAUGUUUCUUAUUUAGUCAGCUUUGUGACGUCUUAAAUUUAGAUCUAUCAAUAACUCUGAAAGAGUUGCUUCAGAUCUGUCUCUUAUCCCAGAAGAAAAUAUUUUAAGAUUGAAGCUACUGCUUGGAACAAAGUGCAAGGUAAUACAUGCAGCUGCAAAGGUAAACAGUUAACAGUAUGACAGCCAAAUUGGGUUUUCGCAAGCUCUUCUUCAGGAUGGUGUGAAGGAAAAUGCUUCGUUUCUCCUAAAACCUCCCAGAACUUGUUCAUCUCAUGGUCUUUUUUGGACCAUUGGGAAUAAAGUUUGACAUUUUGGGCUCGUUUGGUUCGUGGAAAGCAUUUUUCCUUCUAGAAAUAUGAUUCUUGGAAAACAGAUUUCUGAGAAGAUGUCUGAAAAAGUACUUUUGGCAUGUUUGAUUGACAAUAAAAAAAUGAUAGAUUUUAAGAGUGCUUUAUGUUUGAUUGAUCAUUCACUUUUCUAGAAAAUUUAUGGAUAAUUUCUAUUUUAUCCUUAAUAAAAAUUUGGUCUUUAAUACCUCUUUAAUUUUAAAAGGGUUUUUUUAAAAAAAUAAAAAUAGAGUAAUUUUCGGCUCACGGGAAAGUAACUUCCUCAUGUUUUUUAUGAGAAAAACUUUUCUAUAAAACGUGGAAAUCAUAUUUCCAUGGAAAUACAACUUUUCCGUCUCUCUUCUUUAAAAACUCCAACCAAACAAGAGGCAUCUCAUUACUUUUCUGUUGACCACACUUUUCUCCUUUCUUUUUCCGCGAACCAAACGAGCCCUUUGAUCCCUAAUAAACCACCGAGCCGCCAUAUUUGGUGCUAAAAAAAUCACAUUCACAACCCUUGCAGGAUAUUAUCCAGUAAGCAUAGCAGCAUCCUAGUAUGAAAUAUGAGCCCAGCUGAAAAUGUUAGAUCGAUUGUUGUACAUAAAUGCUAGUUUGUUUGUUAUGACUCGCUAACAUAUUCCUCUCUUAGUUAUUAGGUAGGGUAAUUCAAUUAGAAUCUUUUUCAUGCACAAUGUCAUUGAUCUGUGUUCCCUAAUACAUAAAGAAAAUUCCAAUCUGUAGGAUUAACAAACAUCAGAGUCUGUCUUUUGGAACCUCCGAGCUGGUUCCCUGUCGCUCAUUGCCUUUCUGAAAUGCUAACCAUUCAACCGUAUUAUUAGCUUCCUGUGAACUUCAUGAUUUCUUCAAUCUUUUUCCUCACUAUGCGGUCAGCAUCUGUAACUGUAGCUGCAAAAGUACACACUCCAAAAUCUCCUAUUUGGUGAUCUCACCCUGGUUGGCAUGACUAAAUCUGACCCUGGAUGGCAUGGCUAAAGGCAUAUCAGGAAUUCUGCAUUCUUGAAUGAGCUUAGAUGGACUGCAAAUUUAUCAGGAAAGCAAAUGGCAAUUUUUCCUCUAGACUACAUGGUUCUGGUUCAGCAAUGUCCGGUGAGGACUACCACGUCGGAAAACUGGCCUCAAAAUGUUUGGAACACCAGCUCAAGCUGCUGUGUAGGGUCUGGAUUACGGCCAGACUGGGUCCGAGUCUAGCCAGCUCACCCUGUUGCAUGGCUAAAGCCAUCAGGAACUGACANNNNNNNNNNNNNNNCAGGAACUGACAUCUUAUGCAUUCUUGAAUGGGUUUAGAUGGAUUGCACAUUUAUCAGCAAAGCAAAUGGGAUUUUUUCCCCUAAACUACAUGGUUCUGGUUCAGCUAUGUCCAGUCAGGACUACCAUGUCAGAAAACUGGCCUCAAAAUGUUUGGAACACCAGCUCAAGCUGCUGUGUUGGGUCUGGAUUAUGGCCAGAAUGGGUCCAGGUCUAGCCAGCUCACCCGUGCCUGUUUAACUCUUUGGUUGGCAAUGGUGCUCUGCCUUGUAGAUGGACAUGCAGUACAACAGACAAUCGAUCAAUGGCAGGUCGGUUUUAUAGAUCUGUACAAUACAAGGAACUUUAUGAUUACAUCUAGUUUAAAAUGGAAAAUUAGUAAUAGCAAGUUCGAAUAUGCACUGUAACUACCUUUUGAAUGAUGUUAUUUGGACCAUUAGCUGUAAGUCUAAUGAAUUCCAGUCUAGCUCUAUAUUUGAUGAUCCCUAAUCUGAAAUGAAGCAUGCAUUUGAUUGUAUCAUGUAUUUCUGGAGUCACAGAGCUGGUUCUAGUGGUUCUUGCUCUUGCUGACUACAUGGCAAACUCAUGGUCUGUCAUGGAUGAAGAUGCUUGGUAGCUUGCUGGUUUGUUUAGAGAAUAUAGAAAUAGAGAGUUUGGGAAAAAUAAAUAGCAACUAAAUAUUACACGGAGUCCAUAUUUUCAGGCACUGGUACAGUUGUACAUCCACAAGGCACCAAGUGCCGGACUUGCCCCCUGCACAUAUCAAAUGGGAAGGAAAAAUUAAGCAAUAUAGAUAAAGGGUGCCAAAAAUUGCAGAAUGAUCUUUUUGGAAUGAUGCGCUACUGAAGUGUGGCUUUACCUUGAAGAAUGCUACAUUUUUUGUAGAACAAACAUUCCAAACCCAAUGCCUAGAAAAGUUGCAAUGGCAAUGCCAAAAAUGCCUGCAAGAAUACCAGGAACUAUUAAAGAACUCCAACCUUUGGAAGUUGCCAUUCCACAUGCUGUUGUAGGCCCCCCAACAUUGGCAUUUGAAGCUAUGAGCAGCAACUUCUGCUGAAAGCCAAGCAACCUUCCAACUCCAAGAAGCACAGCAAGAUGUACAGCGAUUUGAACUAAAGCAAAUGCAAAGAUACCGGGUGUCGUGUUGAUAACAUUCCAAAUGCUACCAUUUGCUCCCACAACAGCAAAGAAAACCUAUUCAUGCAUUCCAAAACAGGAAAAAACAGAAUUUAUAACACCUGGAAAAAAUAUAUUGCAUAAACACUAAAUAACUCUAUGAUUCUUCAGCUGAAAUUAUAAUUGCCUCCAUUUGGAGAAAGCUAAUGGCAUUAGAUUUUAUGUACUUAAAACUACCUUAGUUCAUGCAUGCAGUUUUAUUUCUCCUAAUCCUACACCUAAAAAAGAAGACAACGACCCUGCAGGCUGCUCAGAACCUGAUGAUGAUGGCCUCAUGUUAACUCUCUGGAAGAACAUCUGCAGCCAGACCAUUAAAAGAAUGGCAAUUGGCUUGAACUAAGUUAUUGAUCUCCUGUUCACAGUUAUAUCUGGAGCAGUAAUUUAGAUACCUUAACAAAAAAUGAUGACAAGGAGCUCAAAACAAAUAGCCCAUGUAAAGAAUCAUAUAGCAGGACAAAUGCCAAUAACAGAAAGAAUCAUGUCCUUAGGUAUAUGAAAAAUAUAACUUCUGUAUGAAAGAACUUUUACCUGCAUCAAAAUUAAAGCCAUAGCCUCACCAGCAGGAGCAAGGCUUCCAAAUUGUGAUGGAAAUAUAGUUGCCAAGGCCACAACAAUUGCUGUUAUGCAUGGAAGAUUCCCUCCUUGAAUGCCCAACAAUUUAGUAAUGUAAGUGGCUGCUUUGCAGAUUGCAAAGGAUAUAGCAAUGGCCAUUGCACUUUGUAAGACAGGUAACUUGUUUCCUGCUCUGAGUUCGGGAUCAACUUGAUCAUCUGCCAAAGUUCGAAGACUUCAAAGAUUUGAGACUACAUGGUUUAGCUAUCCAAAUGGCAUUACAGCCAGCAUGAAGAUAUUCAAGUAUAUCCAACAAUGGUUAAAAAUAUGAAUUAAAUCUAGAUUACAAAAAAUUGAUAGGUCAUAUGAGCUUUAACAAAUACAAUGUUCAUAAGCAAUGGUUUGGUUGAAACAUGUUAAUAUGUGAUAUGUACAUUCUUCGAGCAUAUAGGUAUCAGAGCUUCUCCUGUCUGAUAUCACAACCUGAAAUAUUUCAGUUUUGGCUGUUUCACUUGCAAACAGCGGAGAUUCUUGUUUCUCACUAAUGGAUCCAGGGAUGCCUUCAGUUUAAGGCUUCAAAUCAUGUUGAAAGUUAUGCAUCUCAUGCUUGUUCUUAUUAAGUUCAUUGUGCUAUGUAAUACAAAAUAAUGAGUACUAUGGUAUUAGUGAGUUUAGGUAAAGCACAUUUCUUAUACAUAUCAGAUCUUUCAACUUGAUGACUCUUGUCAUCAUGCCCAACUACUCAAGCAAAUUGGUUCUGAAGUAUGUGAAGUAACAAAACAUAAAACUGGUUGACAUUUCAUUGCAUAUUUGAAUAUAUGUUGCAUCAAACCCUAUAUGAAUCAAAAGUAUAACCACUGUUUUCAAUAAUGAAAUGUUCUUUGUUUCCAAAAAAGAGGAUUGGAUCCUUCGCUCGAAAAAGAAAAAUGAUGGGACCCAAUGGAAUUUAUACAGAUUAGUCAUGAAUAAUGAAUUUUAUUAUAAUUGUUCAAAAAUCCUGAAUUGUAGAUUUUGUUUCUUCUUUAGUGGGAUUAUACAUUUAUUUCCAUUUCUAGGUCUCAUAUUGGUAAACUUUAAAACUGUAAAAGUAACUAGAAGAAGAAAAGCAUGGUAGGAAUGGAAUGCAUAUUUUUCCUUUAAAGAAAGUUAAUUUCAAGCAAUCAACAAAUAAUUAAACCUAAAGUGAUCAAAUGCUAAAUCAAUCAUGAUAUUAAAACUGAGAUUCAUGUGCUUAGUUAUAUAUCCAAUAACGAAGGUGAAAUAGUAGGAUAGGACUUCAGCAUUAUCAUCAUUUCUUAGUAAUAUCAGCCUUCUAUGUUGAAAAGUUGACAUCGUAUGGUAGAUGUUUAAACUUAACGUUGAUGGUGAAUCCAGUACAGCAUACUAAUAAAUUGUCAGUUGGUAAGAAGACAACUAGCUUUAAUCACUGUUAGAUCAAUUUUAGAAGCAAUAUCAAGUAGUCCACAUGUAAGUGACAUUUAUUCAGUCACUAAAAUUUACUGAAUAAGACUUUCAUGUUUUAUGCUGGAUUAGCAACAAUAAGAGCAAGAAAAAGAGCUAUUCUAUGCACGUUGAGUACUAUCACAGAAUUAAACAAGAGGAAGUUAACACACACACCUGUGGUAGAUGUGGAAGUUUCUCGAGGUAUUUUAGAAGCUAAUGCAAAAAGAGAUGUGAAAUAUAUUGCACAUAUAACAUUAUCUGCAGCUAGCCCUGCAGCCAGUACUGAUGGGGAAACACCAAGAGCCUCCGAAACAGCAACAUAAUUGACCGCUGAACUUUUUUAGAAAUUAAAGACAACUGUUAGAAAUAAUAGGGAACUCAAAACUAUCUACUUCUAGCAAAUUCACCUCUUUUAUUGGUACUGUAGAAAUCAUCAGCAAUAAGGAAUCAAGCUACCAUCAUUUGCAUGUUUCUUAUUUCAUGCACCACUAAAGUUAAGAAGCAUAAAUAGAAGCUUUGACAAGGCACCCUGAUUGGUAUGCUAGGUUAAGCUGACACAAGUUUUACAGCAAGUACCCAACUAUGGAUUGGAUCCUGAAUACAUCCAACACAGCUAAAUAUUGAUGUGCAACUCCUCUUGCUAGUAAACACCUAAAAGCAACUUUUAUUUGUUUCACUAUGUAACAUGGAUAUUCCUUAAACCUUUGUCACAGGGUAGGAUUGUGUUGCAACUCCUCUUGCUAGCAAGUACAUAGAAGCAACUUUUAUUUGCUUCACUAUGUAAUGUGUAAAUCCCUUUCACAAAAGCAUAAUCAUAGAAGUAAAAUUCUACAAAAUUCUUUGAUGAUACCUCCACCAAUAUGCCUGCUCAUCAGGGCUGCUGCAAUCUUCCAACUAUCUUGACCAAGAGAUCGCAUUGGCACCAGCAGAUAGGCUACUACUGUGCCAAUUGUGGUCGCGACUAUCACACAAAAGAUAAGACAUCAAUAAAUAUUGAAUUCAAAGUAUUAGAAUUCAAAAAAGCAAAAAAAAUACAAAAAAAUGAGGAAUGUGCAACAGAAAUUUGUCAAAUUGGCGGUCAAAAUUCAUGCAAGAAUAGAAAAUGUGCAAAUUUAUAAUUGAUGGCUCAAUUAUCUGAUAGGAUUUUAAGUUUUUCACAGAAAAAUAAGAUUGGAGAAAAUUAUCUUUAAAGUAAUUAAAAUCAUGGUUGUGAAUAGCAAUGAGGAUUAGGAAACAUCAUAUGGCUCUAUAGCAACUGAAUCUUCGUACACACAAGUAACAUCUUUUUCUUGAAACAAAACAACAUGCAUUCUUGAGACUAUGAACUCACGGGUGCUUUUAUGCAGGUAGUCACAAUGCAAGUUCAUGCAACGCCAUCAUGGCAGAUAGUGAUGGCUAAGGAGACCUAGCUUUUUCCACUGCACCAAUAAAUAAAUCUUGCCACCCGUCUCGUAUGUGGGCCUGUGGCCUCCACUAGCUAAAAGUGGGACUACAAAAUUGAAACCUUCUUUGAUGGCCCAAUAGAGCAUUAUGAAUCUUGUCUAGUUAUUUUGGCUUCAUCAAGAGGAUAGCAUUACUUGUCACGAGAGCUAUGCAUCUAUCAUGAUGAUCAUUGUAAUUCAUGCUCCAAUAAUCAUUGCGAUCAUUCAUAGCUGCCCUCUCUAUCAUAUGAACAUGACGAGAAAUUUUGACAAUGACAAAUCAAAGGCCAUCCACAUGAGACCUUCUAAUGUUAUGCAACAUUCCAAUAUUAUACAUUGAUCCAAGAGGAUCACUAGACUCAUAUGGACCACUUUGGCUGCCACGAGUAGAGCUGGAUAGAAUUCAGGAGCAAGAUCGGCCAUAUCAGAAAGCUGAGUCGCGAGCCAAACUUCUAAAGGCUAUAACUUGGUCAUAUAAUACCUGAUUAAGAUGAUCUCUUAUUUCGAAAUCGAGUAACUUUUCGAGAUCUACAACUUCAGACCAACCCCUAGAAGGUUGAAACGGGCCAAAACUCCAUCUUUUAGGCCUCGAAAUAGGUCAUUAAAGCGAAAGUUUCUUUUCGGAAAAAACUUUGACCGAGCGUAUCUCUCAAUCCGUGAAGAAUUAAGCAGAGCAACAAAAAAAAAGUCGAUGUAGAAGUCAAGAUGUACUUCCUGUAGGAUUUUAGUCUUUUUUUUUCAUGAUUAUUUUUGAUAGUCAUAUUCAUUUUAAGAGAUCUAGUCCUAUUUAAACUAGGAGAGAAAUUUGAUCCGAAUUGUGAAAAGGAGGACUUCACUACUAUUAUAAAUAAGGGAUAUGUACCUCGGUUUAUGAUGUGUGGAUAAUCAAUAAAAGAAAAAGGAAUGUAAAUUCUUUGAAAUUUUUCCACCUAAAUUUUUUUGAAGAUUCGAGUUAAGCGGGUUAAGAAAAUUCUUCCUUCUCCCCGGCCGGAUCAUAUAUAUCCUUCUUUAAGCCAUUCUAGGCUUAAAUUGAUUGAAAUUCAUAGUUUGACUAGUUUGUUGCGAUGUCUCCAUACUCUAUGCUAACUAAUGAACCUACUAAGUUUAGCAACUCACAAACUUCUACGCAGUCUCUAUUUUACAAAGCAAACUUCAGGCAUGCUUUCAUCUCCCAAGGCUCCACCAUCGAAAAUGGGUACGAAUAUCAAUCUCAUAGAAGAUAUAUUCCCCCCUAGCUAUUCUUAUCAGGAUUGCCACAUCACAUCGGCCAGUACCAAACUGAAAAUAGUGGUUAAAGCUAAAACUAUAAUUGGUUAGAGUUUUGACAUCUGGAAACACAUCAAGACACUAUUUUGUAAUUAGGAAUUCCUCUUAUACAAAGCAAUAAUCAAACAAGAUAACAUUUUUCUAGUAAUACUCAAUCAAUCAGCAACCCUCAUUAGACUCUAUUUCCAAAUAGAACGAUCCACCAGCAACAUCAAAGCAUCAUUGUAAUACUAAGCCUCUUGUAGCCUUGGCCUAGUCCGCCAGAGCAAAAAGCUUGGUUCAUCCCAAUAACCAAAAAAAGAAAAAGAAAAAGAAAAUAUGAUUGGCCCUCUUUGUUCAGUCCUCUACCAUUGGCCCCUAGCCUGAUUCUGCCAUCCACAAUGGUCACCGACCCUAGCCUUCAACUAGGGUGGCAAUUUAUGAUCCGACCCGUUAAUCCGACCCACGAACGACAUGCUUAAAGUAGGUUUGGAUUUGACAAAAAUGAGUUUGGAUCAUAAAUGGGUCAACCCAUCUAAACCUGUUUACUAUACGAGUACCCAAUAUCCAGUACAAAUGGCGUACCGACACUCGAUAUGCCAAAAAAAUUUCGUAUCGUACCAUACCGACACUGUGCCAGUAUGGCACCGGUACAACGUCUGAUACCGAGACGGCGAACCUUGCUAGCACUUAUCAAACCCUACUAGAUUUGGCCAUCCUCGAUUGUGGUGACCAUUAGACUCCACCUGAUUUUCUAAUCCUUGAUCUAUCUUGAUUCGAGCAUGAAGCCACACCUUAGUCAUACCCCUAGUUGGAUUAUUCCUCUCACUUAACAGAUUUGGUUUCUUUAGAAUUUUUUAUCUGUUGGACUUCUAAAAUGUUGACUAUAAAAUUAAUUAAAUUUUCAUGACCUUGAAUAGAUGUAUCUGACUUGCUGGAUUGAAGUAUAGAUUGGUAAACACCAAGGUAUGUCAUCUUGGUACCGAGCCUCGUACCGGAGCCACCCUGUCAUUAUGUCGGUAUGCUCGGUAUGGGGUUGGUUCGACGUACCGAUACUCAGUAUGCCCUCCGUAUCAUGUACAGAACUGAGCUGAUACAGUACAGCAUGCUCCGUACCAUCCAGUUUGGUACGAUAUAGAAAUAAUCUUAAAAAUAUGUCGCUAAUAGAGGUAAGUAACCUAACACUUCAUAGUAUUUUUUUUCCAAAUUUAUUAGAAGAAAUGAUCUUGAAAAAUUAUAAUUAGUUUAUUAAAUUUGUUUAUGAUCUCUAUUUCUAUUUGAUAAAAUAGGUCAAUCAUGUAUUGUUUUAUUCUUGAAAUAAGAAUAUAAUAUGUAUUCGGUUAUUGUUGUAAAUAAGUUAUUUUUGAACAUAUGAUCUGCUUUGAGAAAUGGAUUUGGAAAUUUGCCUGGGCAGUUUGUGAAAUUAUUCUUAUAUAUAUGUAUUCUCAACAUGGCUAGAUCUGAUGCCACCAAUAGGAAUUAUUUGUUGACAUUGUUGACUUGUAAUCUAAACAAUUAGUUUCAACAUCGAACUACUAGGGAUAAGAAUAGUGAUAUCUGUUGUUAUCUGACACUUUGUGCACCUUGUAUCUAUUGUCUAAUCCAUGCCACUGGCUUACAUGGACAAAGCUUAAUGUUGGAUCUAGUAUCAGCUUUUAAAAAGCAUACUCUUGAAAAGUAAAAAAAUAUUAUUCUUUGAAUUUUGAUAUUGCCCAAUCAAUGAUAUGUUUGAUUUACUAUAGACUAGCAUGCUUAGACCCAACUCUAAAGUGCUUUGUAACUUACUAGGCUGGUGUAACUCAUUAUUCUUUCUCUUUCUAUUUUUCAGAAUUGCUCAGGAUAAAGGAGUGCGCUAAAUCUCUUAGAGAUAUUCGUGAUUAUUUAGACUUCUUAGUUUGGUUUAGUUUAGUUUCAUUUAGUGUUUUAGAUUUUUAUUUGGUUUAAAUGAUAGUAAUUGUUUGGAACAAUAUGACUCAUGUUAGUUUGGGAUAUUUUUUUAUGAGAAUGAUUUGAGUGGAUCUCUAUUAAACAAAUUUUCGAGGAUUAAAAAAUUUAUUAUUGCUCUGAAAUUAAUAUGACUUGAUCAUAUAGCAAGAGAAGAGCGGGAUCAAAAACAAGAAUUUUAAUAGCCUAAAAGAAUCAAUCCAAAAUACCAGAUCCAACCAAGAAUGCUAGGAGGAGAGUCCCGGUGGACCUGAGGACUCGGCGAAGAUCGGCAUUGAAGAGAAGCAAGGGGACGGCCAUGGGGAGCAAGUACUCCAACACCACCUUAUAGGCUGGAGCUUCGGAGGCGAUGAUUCCGGUGCUGCUCGCGGCCAAUCCGACCAGAGUGCUCACCAGGGCCCCGCUCAGCGCGCUUCCGAUCUUGGUCUUCUCCGACCUUCGGAGUCCAAGUGUCCAACCAAACACGACGGGUGAAGCCAAACAUUAUAACUUACAGGUAAUUUUUCGAAGAAAAUAUAAAAGACGGCAAGGAUUGAGGACAGGGAGGAGACCAGAUGCCGAAGGCGCCGGUGGCGAAGAGGGCGGUCCAGGUGCCCCAUUGGUCGUUGGGGGAGAUGAGGGUGCCGGCGGAGAGGGCGGUCGCCGGACGGAUCGGGGAGGUGGUGGUGAGAGGGGAGAGGAAGAAGUGGUGACGAGAAGAGAGAGAGGAGGAGGAGCGGUUCUGGGUAGUUGGGAGGUGAACCGGAUCGGUAGCGGUUCGGCCGGGGAGAGAGAGGGGCGGGGGGCAUGGGCGAGGGAAGAGAAAGGAGGAGAGCGAGGAGGCCAUGAGAGAGAGAAGACUGACUGCUGAUGACCUUAAAGAGUUGAAAAUUUGUACCCAAAAAAAAGGAGGUGAAGAGAUAUAACUUUUACAACAUAAACCAAAUAUUACAUUUUUAUUAGGAGUAUUAAUGCAAAAGGAUAAUAUUAUCUUUUUAUUUUAAAAUAAUUGUUUAAGCACUAUGGGUCAAAAAACUAAUGGGAGAGAUGUCAUUGCAAAAAUAAGAUAAUUUAAGAAAACAAUGCGAAUAGUGAUUUUUAAAAAAUAAAUAUAUAAUAAUCAUAUUUUUGGAAACAUAUUAUAGAAGAAUUUUUUUAACUCCAUCUAGAAAGGUACAAAUAUGAGUAUUUCUAAAUUUUUAAUUUCUUAUUGUUGUUGGCCCGUAAGUCCUAAUUAUUAAUCUAGUACGUGGGAAGAGUUAAAAAGUUGUCAUGCUUGUGCACUUUUUUUUUACGUGUCACUACGCUUUGCACAUUGCCUAAAAGGCCUCUCUCUUCCCCUCCCCCCCUCUCUCUCUCUCUCUCUCUCUNNNNNNNNNNNNNNNNNNNNCUCUCUCCUCCCUCCCUCCUCUCUCUCUCUCUCUCUCUCUCUCUAUUUGUAUAUAUAAUAUAUAUUAUAUUAGUUACAAUGCACGUGUGGUUGCAUAUAACUACUAGUAAAGAUUAAAAUAAAUUUUAAAAGAAUUUAGCAUGAUUAAAUUCCGAUACAUCUUUCUUAUAAAAUUACUUGAAAUUUAUUUUAUAUAUUACAUUCUUAAUCAAGAUAAGUCUAAGUUUUGCUGCAAUCAAAAGAUUACUAUGAAUUUAAAUUUCGGAUAUGGUUUCAAGAAGAAUUUCUCUUUUGAACUUCUACUCAAAAUCCAACAAUCUUAUAAACCUUUUUCUUCAAUAGAUAUUUAGCAUAGUUUAUUCAUUUAAACAUUUAUUAGAGAGAUUUAAUUAAUUAGAGUUAUUAUACAAACUUAACUAUGGAAAAUUAAAUCACUUUCUUUUUACUGAUUAGCAAAUCGGAUUCUUUUUCCGCCCUCGACCAAAAAUAUUUUUUUGAUCAUUCUGCUCAACCAAUGUCUCUCUUCUUCAUGUAUGGUACCAUCGUCGUCCCACUCAGCAUGUCUUCUUGUGGUCCUUCUUGAGGAUUUGGACGGGAUGUAAGUUAAGAGAUUGCUUCAAAUCACAUGCUGAUGUGCCAAUAAUGAAGAAGUGUAUAGUAAUAAUUGUGCAUGGAUAUAGCUUAUUAAAAUAACUAAAUGGAAUAAUCAGAACUUCCGCAUAACAAGCAAAGCUUUCUGAGUUCAAACUUGGAUAAUGUGUAUUACCACACAUACAUCAGGGUAAAAAUCCGGUAAUGGAACAUAUAUACUAGGAUACCUGCUGGGGUACAUGAAGCAUUAGUCUUGGAUGAUGAAUUUUCAAACAUUUCAAGCUGGAAUAGCAUACUACUGUAUAGGUCUCUCUCUUUCUUUCCUGCGAAAAGGAAAAAUUACAGUGCUCAAGAAUUAGGUGCUUUCAGGAUUUCGAAAUUUAUUUAAAAUGGAUGUCAUGACUAGGUGAUUUCAGAAUUUAAGUGAUUGCGGAUGGCCAAAGAAAAAAGAAACUGUGAUUCUAAGCUUAGCUGAGUUUAUUGUUAGGUCAAAGCCUAGGGAUUGGCUAGAUGGCUGAUCGGGAUUGUAGUUGUCAAUAAGCUACAUCACAAGGAAUUAUCACUGAACAAUAGCUAUCAAGCUUAUUUAUUUUCAGUUACAUGUUAAAUUAGCAUGAAUAAGGGGGAUGAGAACAUUUACACACACUAACAUUAUGGCACAUGAACAUCACUUCAUCAUGGAAGCCCCUUGAAACCCCUAUUCUAAGUCGCCAUUUGCACAGAAACCUGUAAUUAAAGUGUGCAGAUCCUCUGUAGAUGAUUUUAAAAGUGCAUGCUGCAUCAACCAGGACCGUGGCCGUGGAAUGAAGACCAAUCCACCACAUGGCCAAGCACAUGCCCAUGGGAAUAGAGGAUGCGCAUUUCAUAACAUCAUGAUCAACAUCUCUUUCUCAAAGUAUAGAAAUUGAUUUCAACAAUUAUCCUUAUAGAAGUGAAAAAAGUUCAUGUCGACAAGCUUCUCAUCACCUACUCUUGUGACCUCAUGUCAUGCCGCCAAGAAUACGAGCUUGUAUGUAGCAGGCACCACAAUCCAUGCCAACACAAAAUCCGUAUCAUGAUGAUUGGAAAGGAAAAGUUGUUAAUCUGAAACAAUAUGAUGCAGCAUAGUUGGAUUAUAUCUCAUGUUUUCACAUAGAUAUAUAAGAAUUAUACAAGGCAUAUCCCUAGAACAAAGGGGCAAAAAACAAAAAAUAGAACCCUCAAAAAAGAAAAUUAAGCACCGUAAUCUUUGCAAUCAUUCAUAUGGAAUUGCUGAAUUGGAGCAUCUAGGAGUCACUAAUGCUAAUUUUAAAAAAAUCAGAAUCAAGAGAUUAGUUUCAUGUUCUUCAGCAUUGUGGUAAGAAGAGGUAGCUUUCCAGGAGCCCUAUGCUUGUAAUCCUGCAACAGAGCCUCCGCAGCUAGGGAUUGCAGCUCAGAGCUUUCUUUCUCUUCUUUGUUCCGUCCCUUGAUCAGCUGAUUGAUGGCAACACUACACUGAAGAAAUUAAGAAUAUAUUAGUGAUCAUGAUGGUGAGCAACAAAAUCAAAAUAUCCAGGAUAUCUUACCAAGCAUACACCAUAGAGAGCUCUGGUGUUCUUGCCUCCAGUUAAGUUGACGGUGGCACAAUAGUACUUUUUGGCUGCCUGAAGAUUUUCCAAACCACCCAUAGAAUAAAGUACCUAAUGAUAAACGAAUUCCCAGCAUGAAGGGUUAAUCCAACAAAAUAGCAUACCUUUUAUACAUGCUGUAAAUAUAUUAUCAUCAAUUGAGAAAAUAAGCAAGAAGUAACGAAGACAAGUGGGGAUAGAACAAUGUCAAUUUAAGUCAGAAACCCAUCCCCCAAUUAUAAAAAGAUCUAAUAUUAUAUUACAUAUAUAUAUAUAUAUAUAUAUAUAUAGAGAGAGAGAGAGAGAGAGAGAGAAGAANNNNNNNNNNNNNNNNNNNNAUAUAUAUAUAUAUAUAUAUAUAUAUAUAUAUAUAUAGAGAGAGAGAGAGAGAGAGAGAGAAGGAAAUCCAUCCAUGAACCUGUUUUAGUCAUCUUGCUUGCUAGAUUAUAGCUGUUAUAAGCAUGUGGAUGAACUAGUGUUUGUAGGUAUUAAUCCAAAUGUUAAUAGGCAAAGGAAGCAAUCUCCAUUAAGCAAAAAUUUAUCAUCGCCUUUCACAAUUGUUGUAAGAUAUAACCGCCCAGACCUAAAGCAAAUAACGAAGGACCCAAUAUUCCGCUGCAGCUGUGACAGACUAGCAAAAGGAGGUGCUUUAUGUUGAUACACAAGUACAAUGUCUUCUGCUCAGCCAAGGUCAAAUUCACUGCGUGCAGCUAAGCAUUUCUUUUUUCCUUUUUUUUCCUACCAAGUCCCACCUGCCUGAAGGAGUUAAACCCUGGUAUUUUACUGGCAUAAAGCUCAGGUCCGAAAUACUUGAAGAGUUGACACCACUCAAGAGUCUUUGCUUCCAAGCAAGGGGUUGCCACUGUUUGGAGUUAAAGCAACUGACAAAGGAUCCAAUCUUCCACUGCAGCUGUCAGACUAGAAAAAAGGGGGUGUUUCAUGUUGAUACAUAAGUACAAUGUCUUCUGCUUAGCCAAUGUCAAAUUCAACAUGUGCAGCUGAGCAUUUUUUUCCCUUUUUUCUAAAUAGAUCAGGAGGGAAGUCCCACCUUCCCCGAAGGAUUUAAAUCCUGGUUAUUUCCUAAAAUAACACUCAGGGCCAAAAUACUCGAGGGUGAACACCACUCAAGACUUGAAGGUUUGUGACCACUCAGCCACUGCUCUGUUCACACCAACUGCUAAUAAAAGCUGAGCUAUGACCGUAAUAUUCUGAACCAUAACCAACACCUUCCAACAUCUACGUGAGGCUGACAAUUAACUGCUUUCAACCUAUAUCAGCUCUCUAUGAAAUGCUCUUGAGCUUUUCUUGCAGAUUCAACUUUGGGCAAGAAAGGGCCUAGAGUACACCCUAGAAUACCAAAUAUCCAGGCAGCAUCAUAUUUUAAAAGAAGUCAUGUAUAUCCAUGAAGCAUUCUUGAAGUUCAAGAAAAGGUGGGUGAUGGUAUGCACAUCAUAUCUAGAAUCUAUAUAGCAAGAAAAGGCGGGUGAUGGCAUGCACAUUAUAUCUACAAUGUGUAUAGAGGGAUAUGAAAUGCAUUUGUGCUUAUCUUGUGAAUUCAACUUUGGUCAAAAAAAGGCCUUGCAGACAACCUAGAACACUGAAUAUCCAGGCAACAUCAUAUUCUAAAAGAAGUCAUGCAUAUGCAUGAAGCAUUCUUGAAGUUCAAGAAAAGGUGGGUGAUGGUAUGGUAUGCACAUCAUAUGUACAAUGUGUAUGGCAAGAAAAGGUGGGUGAUGGCAUGCUUAUCAUAUCCACAAUAUGCAUAGAGGGAAGAAGAAGAGUAAAAUUUUUCCAACAAAUGAAGUAGAAGAGAAAUUAGAAAAAAAUUGUUGCAACAUAAAAGAAAAAAAGAAAAAAAAAAUCCUUCCCUCCGUCAACAAGAUGGGUCAUCAUCUUGUUAGCAGCAAACAUGAGUAAGAUGAAUCAUGUUUAUUAUGAAUUUCACUAAUAUUACAAUUUACCAGUAUAAUUCUUUUUUCCAUUACUUCAGACUAUUUCAUUUUCGAUAAACAAGAGGAAUUAUCCACCUUAAAGGCCCAAUUGACAAAUCUUGCUCCACACCCACUUGGCCACUUCUCUAAAUGUAUGAAGUUAUGGAUGAGAGUCAUAAAACAAAUAAAACAAAAAAUAUAUUGACCAUUCUAGAACUAAUUUGGCUUCAUGACAGGAAGAUCCAUGAUCAAGGUCAUUCCUUGAACAACUUGUAGCAUAUGACACCUGAUACAUGCAAGGCUCUCCUAAACAUUCAUGCUAUGGUUACUACUUCGUUGGAAUAUUAUAUGACUGAAUGAGCCUGGAAAGAACUUCCCUACCUACAAAUAUAUAUAUAUAUAUAUGUGUGUGUGUGUGUGUAUUGUUUUACACAUAGUCAAACUUCACUUCCUCUGUUCACUUUUCCCCUCUUUUUGGCAGAUGGUAAGGUUUUGAAUUUUUCUUCCCUUUUCUUUUGUAAGCAUGGAUAUGUUUGUUGUAUAUGUCUUUUCAAUUUUACAGUUAAUUUAAAUGAGGCAUAACCACCAUCACCCCCCCCCCCCCAAACCAAAUCCAAGCCAGAAGAAGAAGAAGAAGAUGAAACCCCGAAAUUUUGAACGAUAGGGCAAGGGCGAAAUAAGAAAACAAUAGUAGUUGCAUGAUGCAAUCAUUUCUUCAACAAUGGUAUAAAAACUGUAAGAAUAUUAGACAAUGAUAAUAGAAAGCCACUUGCCUCUGCGUAAGCUAGAUGAUAAAAAGGAACUGUUGGUUGAGAUAGUAUUAGCUCCUCAUAACAAAAGGCUGCUUGCUUGUACCUGAUUAGGGAGAGAGAGUUUAGUAAAAUGUAGAACAAGUAAGACAUUGCAUUAACAAUCAAAAUGCCUCACAUGUGUAGGGAUACAUAAAUUUCAGCAAGUUCUCUCCAAGCAUCAUGAUCUGCCAUAAAUCUGCGAAAAGAUCCAAAGACUUCAGUAACCUAUGCAUAGUGCAAAUAGUUUCACCAUGAAUUACAAAAAGAUUCAGAAUACUUGUAGACUAGACAUAAACUGAUCCUUACAUUUCAAGGUACUUAUUUAGAAAAUCAACAGCAGCUGAGAUAUUUCCUUGUGCCUUUGCCAUCGCAACCUUCCUCUUAUGGAUUAGCUGCAAGAGGAAAAUUUAGAGGUUUCAUAUAUUGUAGUUUUAAUAAUUAAAAAGAUCAAAGUAAAGCAUAUGUAACAGGAGAUGGGAAAAUGUACUGGAAAAUAGAAGACAACAAUCCAACAAGUUGAGCUUCUUUUUCUUAAUUGUGUUUAGACGUUACAUCCACUAAGGACUCUUUGUUAAAGCAAGCACUUUCAAUUUUCUACAUGCAAAACAAACUAUAAUUCAUGGUUGCAUUUUUUACAUACAUUUACAGGCAACCAACUAAUGUUAACAUUCCAACUCUUUAUUUGGGCUUAGGACCACCAUCAGCUCUGAUGCCUGGAUAAAAUAAUAAUAAAACAGGAAAAUUAACUUACCUGAUCAAGUGGAUUAUCCUCUAGAAGACAUGCAUAUGCUUUUUCUGCAUCAGCCCAUGCUCCCUUCGCUUCAAGUAGCAUUGCUUCUAAUCUGCCUGAAAAUUAUUGCAAAGAAAGGCCAGAAGCAGCUGAGCAUGAAACGAAUAUAACCCUAUGCAUAAAUACGUCUAUCAUGUAUGGUGCAGUAUUUCAUUAUCUUCAAGCCAGUUGCAGGUAGGAUAAAGCAAUCCAAUGUUUUUAGUAUGAGCUGCAACAGCAAAAUACUAGACAGUGAAAUUUACAAUCAGUAAGUAUAUGUUCCAUUUAAAGAUUCUUUAACUUUAUUGAGACCUUAUAUUUUAUUUAUAUGUACAUGUAUGUAUCCUGCACAUAAAUAAGUAUACCAUGUAUGGUCCAGUAUUUUAUUAUCUUCAUUCCCGUUGGAGAUAGGAUAAAGCAAUCUAAUGUUUUUUGUAUAACCUGCAAUACCAAAAUACUAGACAGUUAACAGAAAGUUAAUGUUUUAUUUAAAGAUUCUUCAACUUUAUUGCUCUUAAAUUUUAUGUAUUUAUAUAUACAAUAUGCAUGCCUAUAUAGCAGAGAAAACAGUCCAUCUGUUAGUGAUUUAUAGAACAUUCAUUAUGAUCUAAUAACAUUUAUCCGAAGAUUCAACUGCAAAGUAGUAAAAGAUUGAUUCUUUCUGGAUCUUUAUCUGGUCUGCCAGAGUAUUUCUACCGGUUGACAUAUCUUCUUACGGUGUUUCCAUAUGUUGCUGCAGGGUUCUCUUAAAAUUUGGUGACAAUUUUCACAAUAUUGACAUGAAGUCUGUAGCUAAAAGAUUGUUCUUAUCUUUCAAAUAUAUUUUAAAGAGAGUACAUGAUCGACAUAAAGACUAACCAAUUGAGAGUGCAAUACACAGUUUAUGCAGGUGAAAUAUAAGAACACUAAGCCACAAAACCCUGUAAAAAAGGGUCAGUACUAUUUACAGCAAUAGUCUAACAGUAUAAGCCAAGGUUAGCCAUCCCCAUACCGGUACCAAACUGAGACUCGAUACAAGGGGUGUACCAAAUUUAGGCAUAUGCCGAACCAACCCUUGGGUGUAUCAACAUUGUACUAGCAUGGUACCGGUACAAAGGUGUGACACCGAGAUUGUGAACCUCGAGCAAAUAACAUCAUAAGAAAAGAGCAAGCUAGAAAAGACUCAUCAAGAUCCAAAGUUGUUUAGGAACUUUGGAUAAAUGUUAGCCAGCAGUUCAAUCAUCAUGGAACCACAAAAAGAAUAAGAGGGACCCUAAUCCCUUUAACCUCUCUUAUUCCUACAAUAUCUAACAUAUUGUAGAAGAGAUUAAAAGUUUUUAACCACCAUCAACUCAUCCUAUCUUUAAAAUAACUUAAGAUCUGAAAAUACCUUCAUUUUUCCCAUGUAUCUGAAAAUCCAACAUAGGGCCUAUAUAUAAUAGGAACAAUUAGGUCAUCAAAGAAGUUAAACUAGGUAGGUUAGAGUAUGGAUAUAUUAAUAAGAUUUUCAAAUAUUUAUUACUUUAUGAGAUAUAUAGGCCCAUUGGUCUUCGCCAUGUAUGUAGACAUGAUGAGAUACAUAUUUAGCUAUAUUUUGUAAAUCACAUACACAACAAUGUGGGGUCUACCAAGGUCUAUCAGCUCAACCCCCUUGUAUAAAGAGAAAAAGAAAAUAUGCAAGUUCCAUUCGACAAUUCUUAUCUAGUGGCUAUACUCAAUCAAGGAUAUCUAUUUUAUGACUCUAUAUAACUUAAGUUGAAUGCUCUGGCAAAACUAGCAUAUACCAUUGGCUAAUACAACAGUACUUACCAACCCUCAGACUGCCUGUAAAUUUCUUUGAGAGGGUAGCAAUACAAUCCUGCAAAACAAUAGUUACAAGUAUAUCAUGUACACUAAAUUAGGAGAAUAACAUAAAGAAGAAUAACAUAAAAAAUGGUUUGAUAAUUGGACCGUAGAAAAUCUGACAGUAUAGUUGAAACUUCAACAAUAAAGAUGCCAAAUUUAUUGGAGGAAUACAUGUUCCUAUCAAGUCCUUACAAAAACAGCCAAUGAACUGUGGAAGAUUUUCCACGGCAAGGUAUCAAACGAGUCAAAAAAAUUAAAAAAAGCAAGCUGAUUGAUCGUUAACAUCCUGCUCGUUCUUCUAUAUACCUUCUUAGACAUGUUUCCUCGUGAGAAAAGGCUUAGAUGAUGGUGAUAAGACUGAUCAUAUAAAGUGACUUCGUAAAAAAACAGAAAAAAAAUCAUGCAUGAGUAUAGUUUUGAACCAAUCCGGUAAUAAUUACACAUUAUAUAUAUGCUUUAUAAAACCAACACAUGGUUGCUCCAUACCAACAUUGUCUACCACUUCAGUGAAGUUAUUAUGGGCUCAAACAUGUUCCAAAAGCAUAAUUUCAGCAUUUUAGCCAACUCAUUCUGGAUGCUGGUUUAUCUAACAGUUAUCAUGAGUACACUCUCUUCACAUGACACUUCUCUGCUAUCAACAUGGUUUCACCACUCAAUGUUGUAGAUAUAAUUCUUGUUGGUGGAGGUACUUCCUCCUUUGACUAUCUAAAGCAACCGUCCAUCAAAUUUGCAACAAAGUGUUCAGGCUUUCUUCAUUAUAUUUGGAGCUCAAAGCUGCCUUUUUCCCCAAGGGGGUACAAGGUCCAGCCAUCUAAUAAAGGUACAUCUCCAAUCUAAUUAGUUCUGCAUGCUAGAAUGAUAUUCACAUUGCUAAUGCAUUAAUGAGCUUUAGUCAAUUAACAGUGAGCUGUUCAUGGUACCACCAGAUUAACUCUGGUGUCUUGUAUUUGACCAUAUUCCAAAUGGAAAUAAUGUGAUUAGUGCUAAUGGUGAGUCAGUUGUCAGUAUGCCUCACUCCCAUCACUAUUUCAGCCCCUUGAAACAUUCUGUGAUAUACUUGUGACAUUAAUUACUCCUUUCCCUGCUUUUACCUCAUGUUUAGGGCCUCACCAAUGCUAAUCAAGACAGGAAUCUUGAUGAUCAGAAUUCUACAACUAGCUAUUAUUGGCAAGCCUGCUCAUCAUUAACAUUGAAAACUUCACCAUGGCCCAGAGUGGAACAAAGGUUUUCUGCCUCAGUUUCACUAACAUGUCUGUCAGAAACUAGCACAUAUUGUUAUCGUCAAGGUAUUAUUUAGACUGCUAGGUGUUGAUAUUCAUUUCCACCACAACCUACACAUCUAUCUACCUGCAUUCAGCCCAUUGACAAGCCUACAAAUUACUUUGCAGAGAAUCAUAAUACCAUGUACUGACACAGCCAUAUAGUUUAGUUUUAUAUAUUUAUAUCCAAGCCUAUGUAGAGACGAAGGGAUCACCAAGAUCAUCUAGAUGGAUCAAACCAAGUAUAAUAUGUCUCGGGCUAUUACAUAUUAAAAAAUCAAAACAAGGUGAAUGACUUAAUUUUGCUUAUGAAAAAACCCAGGAAAGACAAAUGAGCCUUGUUGACAACAAAUCCUCCGAUAGAUUCAAUUACAAUUUUAAAAUAUAAAUACUUAAUAUUAAUAUAACAACACUUACAAGUAACUUUUGGUUGAGCUUUUCCAAUUUUGAGAAGAUAAGAACAUGAGAAUUUGUAAUUGGCAGUGUUGGGAGCAUUAAUUCAGUAAGAUAACUAAAGCACCAUAUGAACAGACAUUAUCACAGUUCAUGCGGGAAAAGGGAAAAAAUCACUGAACAGACCAUAUAAAAAUGUUCUCACUUAUGAUGUUUGCAUAAAAAGAAAGAAAGAAUAACUUCAAAGGAAAACUCAAAAAGAACAAAAUAAAAUUUAGGAUAAAGGCGCCACCUUUGCAACAUCUAGUCGCUGGCAAUCCAUAGCAGCAAUAGCCACCUGCUCAUAAAGAGUCCAUUCUGCAUUAAUAGACAGACUAUUCUGAGUUUCUAAUCAUCUCUGCCUGAAAAGAGGCUAAAAAAUUAAGUGUCGUAAUCAUAUGGAAAUAACCAAAUCAUACAUGUUAUCUGCAUGUACAUACUGAAGUACAUGCAUAUGUGUGUAUAUAUGUAAUAUGCCUAAAAGACAAGAAUGAAAAUGAAAUGCUUACAAUUAUGGCUAAACUGUGAAAAGGCUCAUCUUUUCAAAUGAAAUAAAUUUGCAGCUUGCACAUUUGUUUCCAAACUAAACAUUAGUAACCAAUUUGGCAACCAUAUUUUAAGUAAAAAAGAAGUUGCAUAUUGAAUUGCUGCCAUGACAAUGAUUUUGUUUAUAAAAUGGCAGGAUCAACAUAAUGAGGGAGUCAAGCAUGAUUUAUCUGCAUAAUAGAGGUAAUCACAGGCCUACCAAAGAUAUGUCAAAUAAAAUAAUGUUAAAACAACUCCUCUGACCACAACCACAGCCAUCAAGACAUCUACUUACUAGAAUAAUAAUUUCAUUUACCCAUUCAAACCUAUCGAGCAUUUUUAGCAUGUCCAAUCCCUUUUGCAAUGUCCAUCCAGAUUUUUUUCAUGGCUCCUACUCAACCAUUAUCCAAUCUUCUAUCACCCUCCUUAUCAAAGUCAUUUCCCACAAAUUUUACAUGCACAUACAACCAUAAUAAAUUCAUAGAAACAACCUUUCUACAUGCAAGGUAAGGUGUGUACACCUGACCCUCCCCAGAUCUCAUAGUGGUCAGAGCCUCGUAUACUGGGCUGCCCUUAUAUAUAAUCAUAAUAAAUUCUUCAUUACCACCAGAACUAUGCCAAGAUUUUCUUCGAUCUACAUAUUUUAAGUCUAUUUUCCUACCCAUGCCACGUACAUCCAAGCAUGGCCAUCUCUGCACUGCUUUAUGGAUAAAACUUGGCUAAAAAAACUAUCGAUUAAACCUAGAGGUUACACAUCAAAUGGAAGAUCUUUUUGGUUCCAUAAGACCUAAUUCUCUGAGUUUGCUGAAACUCUCUAAGGAAAUAACAACCGGUCCAGGAGGACAAGAUCUUGAAAAUAUUUAAGAACACUAGAAUCUCAUAUGCUAUAUUCUCCAAAGUCCAAAUCUUUAACAUUGCUGAGUUGAUUCCCUCCAUUUAUGCAUCAGAGAUAUACAUCUUGUACAAACUCCUUAACCAAUUGCUAUAAUCCGAUGCCAAUUUGAGCAAAGACAUCUUAUUCACUUCUUUUAGUUGGCCAACCUAGUCUACAAUAUCUUUUUACCUAGAUUUUGACAUCUAUAUCAGAGGUCUCAGUUGCCCUAAGACUUUUCCAAAGUUCCACUUGAAAGGUCCAAAUGACAAUGCAACUAGCAGCAGACCUCUUCUCACAAUGUUUCUGAUAAUAUUUCCUUCUUCCAAGUUUGCCAAUAGAAUAUUCAGCCAUCUCACUGAAAUACAGUUUAAUAGCUCCUUCAUGUGCUUCCAUUUAACUUAAAUAGCAUCCAUGCAAUCCAAUGACUUCACCUUGUUCCAUGCCAUCCCAUGACUUCACCUUAAUGUUCCAAUUGCCCCACACAGUCUUCUCCAUGUUCGCCAAUGGAUAUCCUCUCAUGAAUUAAAAAUAAUCAAUUGUCACCUCCAGCACAAAUUAGCCACCUUCCUCAUAUUUGUCAGUCUCCUCAUGAAGAUGGUUUCUUUCCUAAUUAGUCAAAAGCCACAUGCUUCUUCAACAGCGCUGACACUUCUAGUACUUGUUGUUGUCUCCUAGUGCAAUGUAAACAUCUUGCUGUUUGCAUAUAGCAAAAUGAAUUCAUUAGUAUAAUCCGUGGUCCACUCCACUGAUAUAAAAAGGUGAAUUUAGGUUCCAAAAACAAUGGAUAAGUGCAACUCGGGCUCAAGCCAUAAUGCCCCACCUAGUUAACAAUCGACUAGUGGGUAAUUCUUUAAAACCAUAGGAGCUUCCCUUGCAAAAGUCAUAUGGACUAUAAAACCAAUUUUUGAAUCCAUAUAAUGUAAUGACAAAGAAAAAGAGACAAUUAGAGGAUUUAAAUGACAUGAAUGGCCAACCAUCUCUAUGGAGAUGCUAUGCCCCAUUCUCAUUUUAUAUUUUCUCUGUUCACCCAUAUAAAAUAGUUUGAAAAGUAGUUAGUCGGGAACCUACAAAGUGCAAUCUAAUUAAGGGCUUGUUUCGCUAUUCCGACGGGAUUGGGCUGAAAAUCCUAUAGGAAUAGCCAAACAUAUGUAGGAAUUAUAGAUUGGGUUGUCCAUUUAAGCAUGGCCCUAUAUCGGCCAGACUCCAUCCAGCCCAAAUCUUGUGGGAAGAAAAAAGAAAAAAUACCUCAAUAGGUCAUAUGUUUCAUCCUGCAGUCCAGAAGCUGAGAUCUGAGCUGGGUUUGGAUAGGCUCUUAGAAAAUACAAGCUAAAUAGGUCAACAGGCCCGAUUCCUACAGGAUUUUCAGCCCAAUCCUGUAGAAAUAUCCAAAUAGACCCUAAAGGUGCAUAUGUCCUCAUGAAGACUUCUUAAAAGAUGAGCGCCAAAUCCCAUUAAGAAUUCCCUUGUCAAAGAGUCCAGUUUAAGAUCCCAUUGGAAGGUCCCAUUGCCAUCAACUUACUUGCUCUUCUUGUAGGCAUCGAUUAAAGUAUCAACCCAUGCCAAUUAGUGUCAUAGGGCACCAUAGAAUGCUAAUUCCUGUGUUGUGCCAGCAUAUUUGUGUUGUUCAAUAUAUGUUUGUGCCAUUUCAUGUGCUAUGCUACAUUUACCAGCAGAAACUCAGUUUCAUUGUUAUGAGACAUGUCAAAUGAUUGGGCACAUAAGUAGUACAACAUGGUAUGUAUAACAUUGCCCAAUGCCAAUCUGGGGCCAGCAAGGGUGUGGCAUGUAGUACUUUACUUCUCGCCAAUAUAGGGUUUCCCUUCCUUCAAAACCUCUCCAUGUGUGCACUUCAAAGCAUGUUCCUAAGGUGUAAUUGCCGUCUUCUCACUUCCUCCUUUAUGACUAAUAUACCGCACACUAAAAUCUUUAGAAUUAAUCAGAAGAUGGAAAAAAAUAAAACCAAAGGAUAUUUAAGGAAAGUUUAUUAUAAUCAUGAAGCGGUCUAGGAAGCAUCACAUAACAGAUGGUUAUUAAUGCUUAUGAUCUUGAUAUUGGAGUCAUCAUUGACAUCAUCACAAAUAUCACUAGAAACAAUGAACAACUAGACAUUUUGAGUUACAGGUGUGUAAAUUGAGGGCGUUUAACUAAAAGAGUUACAAGGGAACACUGGGUGAGGAUAAAGGGGCUCGGAUGUUUGUAAUAAUAGAACAUAAAACAUGACUUAAAGUUACCCUCUAAACACUGCUGGGACUUCAUCAUCAGUAGCAUUUUGUCAACUCUGUUUUGUUUCAAAAACUUAUAUGCACUUAUCAAACAUCAAAGGUUUCCCCAAUCAUAAAUAUUUAGUAAUUCAAAUAACAGAGCAAGAUUCCCCAAAUUACGAAUAACAAAGCAAUUUUUGUCAUCAUCAAUUAAUUUAGACACCUAACACCACAUCCAAAGAAAAAGUAAAAGAUUUGGGGGCUCAUUAGUUACUAAGGAAACUAGUAAUCCAAUCUGAAGAAUCAUAACCCAUACACAGAAACAACCCAAAAUCCAAUGUAAUAACCCAAAUAUACAUAUCAAAUAGACAUUUUCAUACCAAUACAAAGAAAUCACAGCAUACCAUAAACUUUGAAAAAAAUCUAGACUUUCCUUUCCACUUAAACAGACCAAAAAAAAACUUGUCCUAAUCUAUAAAACAACAAAGCAAAUUACAACAACAAAAAAAAACACACAGCACCUCAAAUCCACAAGACCUACUGGCAGAUAUUUCUCAAUAUUCCCAAAUUUCCAAACGAUUAAAGCAAAACAUAUCUCGUAGAACCCCAUCCAGAUCAGAUAUCGAACUGACCUUCUCCUCCAAGCUUGGAUCGAUCCUUGGCGUCGUUCAAGAUGGAGAGUCCGUGUUUGAGGACUUUCUCGGAUCGGCGGGCCUUGAGCUUGCGGACGAGGCAGAGGUACUCCCACGCCCCGCCCCCGCCACUGUCGACCUGGCUCUCGAGGCGGUUCAGCUGCGCCUCCUCCGCCGCCCCCGCCAUCGCCCCCGAGAUCACGAGAAGAGAACGGGAAAGGAUCGAGCCCGGGUAGGAAGAGGACGAGAAGAGGCGGAAGCCGCCGGCCGCGCUAUCGACGCUUGAUAUUGAGGGCGAGAGAAAUACAAAAGGCUUUGACGCAACCACCCUAAUGGAGUCCUCUUUUUUUUGGCUCUACCGUGGGUUUCGCGCGGCCCUUUCUCCGAUCUCAGAUCUAAUUGGGUCUAAUUUUUCUCAUCAUAUUCUAUUCUGCCUUAUUAUAAACCGCAUCAAGCCGCCAAUUAGAUCUAGAUACAUAUACAUACAUACAUACAUACAUACAUACAUACAUACAUACAUAUAUAUAUAUAUAUAUAUAUAGGGGAUUGAUACCUACUCUCUGUAUUAUGGUAAGUUAUCAAUCUACCCAUUUUUCAUUGGACAAAAGAUACCCUUACUUUUUAUAAUUCUUAAGGUAUUUUAUGUCUUUUUAUAAUCUCACAUUAACCCACCCUCUCAACUCCCNNNNNNNNNNNNNNNNNNNNNNNNNNNNNNNNNNNNNNNNNNNNNNNNNNNNNNNNNNNNNNNNNNNNNNNNNNNNNNNNNNNNNNNNNNNNNNNNNNNNNNNNNNNNNNNNNNNNNNNNNNNNNNNNNNNNNNNNNNNNNNNNNNNNNNNNNNNNNNNNNNNNNNNNNNNNNNNNNNNNNNNNNNNNNNNNNNNNNNNNNNNNNNNNNNNNNNNNNNNNNNNNNNNNNNNNNNNNNNNNNNNNNNNNNNNNNNNNNNNNNNNNNNNNNNNNNNNNNNNNNNNNNNNNNNNNNNNNNNNNNNNNNNNNNNNNNNNNNNNNNNNNNNNNNNNNNNNNNNNNNNNNNNNNNNNNNNNNNNNNNNNNNNNNNNNNNNNNNNNNNNNNNNNNNNNNNNNNNNNNNNNNNNNNNNNNNNNNNNNNNNNNNNNNNNNNNNNNNNNNNNNNNNNNNNNNNNNNNNNNNNNNNNNNNNNNNNNNNNNNNNNNNNNNNNNNNNNNNNNNNNNNNNNNNNNNNNNNNNNNNNNNNNNNNNNNNNNNNNNNNNNNNNNNNNNNNNNNNNNNNNNNNNNNNNNNNNNNNNNNNNNNNNNNNNNNNNNNNNNNNNNNNNNNNNNNNNNNNNNNNNNNNNNNNNNNNNNNNNNNNNNNNNNNNNNNNNNNNNNNNNNNNNNNNNNNNNNNNNNNNNNNNNNNNNNNNNNNNNNNNNNNNNNNNNNNNNNNNNNNNNNNNNNNNNNNNNNNNNNNNNNNNNNNNNNNNNNNNNNNNNNNNNNNNNNNNNNNNNNNNNNNNNNNNNNNNNNNNNNNNNNNNNNNNNNNNNNNNNNNNNNNNNNNNNNNNNNNNNNNNNNNNNNNNNNNNNNNNNNNNNNNNNNNNNNNNNNNNNNNNNNNNNNNNNNNNNNNNNNNNNNNNNNNNNNNNNNNNNNNNNNNNNNNNNNNNNNNNNNNNNNNNNNNNNNNNNNNNNNNNNNNNNNNNNNNNNNNNNNNNNNNNNNNNNNNNNNNNNNNNNNNNNNNNNNNNNNNNNNNNNNNNNNNNNNNNNNNNNNNNNNNNNNNNNNNNNNNNNNNNNNNNNNNNNNNNNNNNNNNNNNNNNNNNNNNNNNNNNNNNNNNNNNNNNNNNNNNNNNNNNNNNNNNNNNNNNNNNNNNNNNNNNNNNNNNNNNNNNNNNNNNNNNNNNNNNNNNNNNNNNNNNNNNNNNNNNNNNNNNNNNNNNNNNNNNNNNNNNNNNNNNNNNNNNNNNNNNNNNNNNNNNNNNNNNNNNNNNNNNNNNNNNNNNNNNNNNNNNNNNNNNNNNNNNNNNNNNNNNNNNNNNNNNNNNNNNNNNNNNNNNNNNNNNNNNNNNNNNNNNNNNNNNNNNNNNNNNNNNNNNNNNNNNNNNNNNNNNNNNNNNNNNNNNNNNNNNNNNNNNNNNNNNNNNNNNNNNNNNNNNNNNNNNNNNNNNNNNNNNNNNNNNNNNNNNNNNNNNNNNNNNNNNNNNNNNAUAUAUGUACAUAUACAUGUACAUAUAUAUAGGUAUAUAUGUACAUACGUACGUACGUACGUACGUAGGUACCUAGGUAUGUAGGUACGUAGGUACGUAGGUACAUAUGUAGGUACGUAGGUACGUAUGUACGUACAUAGGUACAUAGGUACAUAUGUACAUAUAUACAUAUAUACAUAUAUACAUAUAUACAUAUAUAUAUAUGUACAUAUAUAUGUAUAUAUACAUAUAUAUAUAUAUGUAUUUAUGUAUAUGUAUGUAUGUAUCUACAUAUACGUACAUGUAUAAAUAUAUACAUACAUACACACACACAUAUAUAUAUAUAUAUACACACACCGGAGAGAGAAAGAGAGAGAGAAAGAGAGUAUUAAUUGGGAGGUUGAGAGGGUGAAUUAAUGUAAGAUUGUAAAAAGACAUAAAUACCUUUAAGAGUUAUAAAGAGUAAGGGUAUUUUUUGUCUUAGAAAAAAUGAGUAGAUUGAUAACCUACCAUAACAGAGAGUAGAUUAUCAAUCCCCAUAUAUAUAUAUAUAUAUAUUGAUACAUCUGCUCACACUGCUUUCGCAUGAGCACUGAUCAUGGAUCUUUACCGAAAGGGUAAAGUCACGAGCGACGGACUGACCCAACCCAAAAUUGGGUCCGACCAUAUUGAGUCAUGGUCACAUGAGUCCUCCCAUUAUAUUUACAUUGGAGCAGAGCAUGUACAAUGCACAUGCACUACAUUAUACAUUAAUGACUAUAAUUUUCUCAAAAAAUACAAGAAACAAAUUUUUUUAUUAAUUAUAUUCUUUUCUAAUUACAGAUCUUUUUAAUAAUAAAAAAUCGGUUUCAAUUAAAAUUUUGGAUUUAUAAAAUUCUAAUAAACAAAUAAUUUUUUUUUCAAUGGAUAGUGAGGUCCGUGUGCAUGAAAAAAAGGAUAAUAGAGAGUCUAUUUUUCAAUUAGAGCUCCUAGGCCUACUUAGUAUUGAUGUUGAAGGGUCAAAUGUGCAAAUUUUUUAAUGUGCAAUAAAAAUUUUGAAAUAGCUACAAGAAACGUAUUUUUUAUUAAUUAUGUUCUUUUCUAAUCACGAAUCUUUUUAAGAAUAAAAUAUCAGUUUCAAUUAAAAUUUUGGAUUUAUAAAAUUCUUAUAAAAAAGAAAGUAAAAAUUUUUUAAUGGAUAGCAAGGGCCCAUAUGCAUGAAAAAAAAAGAUGAAAGGGCAAAUGUACAAAUUUUUUGAUGUUUAAUAAAAAUUUUGAAAUAGCUUCCUAACUCCUCCAAAAAUUUAAAAAACUACUAUAAAAAGCUCCAAAUACGAUAUAAUACAAUUGUAUAAUAUUAUUAUAAUAAAACAAUAAUAUUAGUUGUAAUAUAAUAUUAUUAUAGUAUAAUAUAAUCAAUAUUAUUUUAAUAUGUUAUAGUAUGAUAUAAUGUAAUAUUCAUAUAAAGUAUGUAUGUGUCAUUGUAUACAGUGUUAGGCCUUAAGUUUGUUGUGCUCAGACAUCACUAGAGCAAGGUAGGAUCACGCUCUCUGGAGGUCUGAAAUUGGGCAUUGAUGGAUAUAGUUUUGUCGGGAAUGCCAUGGUUGCUAUAAAAUGUAGGGUAAUGCACAGCAUGGCUGUUAUGAUAAGGCCAUCAAUGACCUCAAAAGGAUGGUGUAAGAAGGUAUAGACCAUGAUGAGAUUAAAUUUUUGGGAGUGCUUUAUGUCAGCUGUCGUAGAUAAGGCUACAGCCAAAAAUAAAGGAUGGCCUGAGGCCAAUUCUACCUAAGAACAUGACACAAAGUUGCUGAGGUGGUGAGCCUUCAGCACGGAUCCGGCAUUUCAGUCUCCUUCACCAGCCUAAGAUAUCAAUCCUGAAAGCAAAAUUAGUGAGGGAAUAACCAUGACCUUUUGUUUUCUGAGCCUAAGAUUUCAGUCUCCUUCUAAGUUUAAGUUUUUUUUUUUUUACUUAGCAACUUAAGAUUAUGACUUUGUCUUAUUUAAGAACAUUCCAUGUUUGAUAUAGCCUGCAUUUGGAUUUUAAUUUGGUAGAAGCUGGGGGGCCACCAUCUUUGGCUCCUUGAAAUGCUAUUCCUACAAGAAUUUGUCAAACAACCAUAUGAAACUACAAAUAUCUCUUAAAAAGAAAGUACAAGUUGUUAGCAUGAUCUAAGCACCUAAGACAAACCUCAAGUUUCAUAGCCAGAAUCUCUUUGAACCUUCGAAGAACAUAAUGAUUCACCUUGUCAUACUUCAGUACACAACCAAGUGCGAGUAGGAUUCUUCUGCAAGUCAGACACCAAUUGCAGACAGGAUAUCCUAGUUCAUGCUGCUCUUUAAGUCCUGAUAAAGCUGAGAUGAAGCCACAUG
This 46699-nucleotide long non-coding RNA is filed under the name Phoenix dactylifera (date palm). RNAcentral describes it as "long non-coding RNA (PDAC_LNC002566)". The record is from RNAcentral. Lineage: Eukaryota; Viridiplantae; Streptophyta; Magnoliopsida; Arecales; Arecaceae.